CUUUGUUAGCUCCCUUUGGAUCGACAAAACCUUCUGUUUGCAUCAUAUACAACUCUUCUUCCAGAAAUCCAUUCGGGAAUGCAGUUUUGACAUCCAUCUGCCAAAUUUCAUAAUCAUAAAAUGCGGCAAUUGCUAACAUGAUUCGGACAGACUUAAGCAUCACUACGGGUGAGAAGGUCUCAUCGUAGUCAAUCCCUUGAACUUGCCGAAAACCUUUUGCGACAAGUCGAGCUUUGUAGACAGUAAUAUUACCGUCAGCGUCAGUCUUCUUGUUGAAGAUCCAUUUAUUCUCAAUUGCUUGUCGAUCAUUGGGAAAGUCAACCAAAUUCCAUACUUUGUUCUCAUACAUGGAUCUCAUCUCAGAUUUCAUGCCUUCAAGCCAUUUUGCGGAAUCUGGGCUCACCAUCGCUUCUUCAUAGUUCGUAGGUUCAUCAUGAUCUAGUAGCAUGACUUCCAGAACAGGUUUACCAUACCACUUUGGCGCGGAUCUCACUCUGGUUGAUCUACGAGGUUCAGUAGUAUCUUGUUCUGAAGUUUCAUGAUCAUUAUCAUUAGCUUCCUCACUAAUUGGUGUAGGUGUCGCAGAAACAGGUUUCUGUGAUGUACUACUUUCUAAUAAGGGAGUAGGUACAGUUACCUCGUCAAGUUCUACUUUCCUCCCACUCACUUCUUUCGAGAGAAACUCCUUCUCCAGAAAGUUUCCGAAUUUGGCAACAAAAGUCUUGCCUUCGGAUCUGUGAUAGAAGGUGUAUCCAAUAGUUUCCUUUGGAUAUCCUAUGAAGACACAUUUCUCCGAUUUGGGUUCGAGCUUAUCAGGUUGAAGCUUUUUCACAUAAGCAUCGCAGCCCCAAACUUUCAGAAACGACAACUUGGGUUUCUUGCCAAACCACGGUUCAUAAGGCGUCGUCUCAACGGAUUUUGAUGGUGCCCUAUUUAACGUGAAUGCGGCCGUCUCUAGAGCGUAUCCCCAAAACGAUAGCGGUAAAUCAGUAAGAGACAUCAUAGAUCGCACCAUAUCUAGUAAAGUACGAUUACGACGUUCGGAUACACCAUUACGCUGUGGUGUUCCGGGUGGCGUGAGUUGCGAAACUAUUCCACAUUGUUUCAAAUGUACACCAAACUCGUAACUCAAAUAUUCUCCUGCACGAUCAGAUCGUAGGGAUUUUGUUUUCUUGUUACGAUGAUUUUCAACUUCACUCUGAAAUUCUUUGAACUUUUCAAACGUUUCAGACUUGUGUUUCAUUAAGUAGAUAUACCCAUAUCUUCUUAAGUCAUCUGUGAAGGUGAGAAAAUAACGAUAUCCGCCACGAGCCUCAACAUUCAUCGGACCACAUACAUCUGUAUGUAUGAUUUCCAACAAAUCUGUUGUUCUCUCCAUAGUACCGGAGAACAGUGUUUUUGUCAUCUUACCCAUAAGGCAUGGUUCGCAAGUACCAAGUGAUUCAUAAUCAAGUGGUUCCAAAAGCCCAUCAGUAUGGAGUUUCUUCAUGCGCUUUAUACCGAUAUGACCCAAACGGCAGUGCCACAAAUAAGUUGCACUAUCAUUAUCAACUCUGCAUCUUUUGGCUUCAACACUAUGAAUAUGUGUGUCACUACUAUCGAGAUUUAAUAAGAAUAGACCACUCUUUAAGGGUGCAUGACCAUAAAAGAUAUUACUCAUAUAAAUAGAACAACCAUUAUUCUCUGAUUUAAAUGAAUAACCGUCUCGCAUCAAACAAGAUCCAGAUAUAAUGUUCAUGCUUAACGCUGGCACCAAAUAACAAUUAUUUAGGUCUAAUACUAAUCCCGAAGGUAGAUGUAGAGGUAGCAUGCCGACUGCGAUCACAUCGACUUUGGAACCAUUUCCCACGCGCAUCGUCACCUCGUCCUUAGCCAAUCUUCACUUAAUCCGUAGUCCCUGUUUCGAGUUGCAAAUAUUAGCAACAGAACCAGUAUCAAAUACCCAGGUGCUACUGCGAACAUUAGUAAGGUACACAUCAAUAACAUGUAUAUCACAUAUACCUUUGUUCACCUUGCCAUCCUUCUUAUCCGCCAAAUACUUGGGGCAGUUCCGCUUCCAGUGACCAGUCUCCUUGCAGUAGAAGCACUCAGUUUCAGGCUUAGGUCCAGGUUUGGGUUUCUUCUCUUGAGUAGCAACUUGCUUGAUAUUCUUUUUGAAGUUCCCCUUCUUCUUCCCUUUGCCCUUUUUCUUGAAACUAGUGGUAUUGUUGACCAUCAACACUUGAUGCUCCUUCUUGAUUUCUACCUCCGGAGCUUUCAGCAUUGCGAAGAGCUCGGGAAUAGUCUUAUUCAUCCCUUGCAUAUUAUAGUUCAUCACGAAGCUCUUGUAGCUUGGUGGCAGUGAUUGGAGAAUUCUAUCAAUGACGCAAUCAUCUGGAAGAAUAACUCCCAAUUGAAUCAAGUGAUUAUUAUACCCAGACAUUUUGAGUAUAUGCUCACUGACAGAACUGUUCUCCUCCAUCUUGCAGCUAUAGAACUUACUGGAGACUUCAUAUCUCUCAAUCCGGGCAUUUGCUUGAAAUAUUAACUUCAACUCCUGGAACAUCUCAUAUGCUCCAUGACGUUCAAAACGUCGUUGAAGUCCCGAUUCUAAGCCGUAAAGCAUGGCACACUGAACUAUCGAGUAGUCAUCCGCUUUGCUCUGCCAGACGUUCAUAACAUCUGGUGUUGCUCCAGCAGCAGGCCUGGCACCCAGCGGUGCUUCCACGAUGUAAUUCUUCUGUGCAGCAAUGAGGAUAAUCCUCAAGUUACGGACCUAGUCCGUGUAAUUGCUACCAUCAUCUUUCAACUUUGCUUUCUCAAGGAACGCACUAAAAUUCAAUGGAACAACAGCACAGGCCAUCUAUCUACAAUCAAACAUAAAUAAGCAAGAUACUAUCAGGUACUAAGUUCAUGAUAAAUUUAGGUUCAAUUAAUCAUAUUACUUAAAGAACUCCCACUUAGAUAGACAUCCCUCUAAUCCUCUAAGUGAUUACAUGAUCCAAAUCAACUAAACCAUGUCCGAUCAUCACGUGAGAUGGAGUAGUUUCAUUGGUGAACAUCACUAUGUUGAUCAUAUCUACUAUAUGAUUCACGCUCGACCUUUCGGUCUCCGUGUUCCGAGGCCAUAUCUGUAUAUGCUUGGCUCGUAAAGUAUAACCUGAGUAUUCCGCGUGUGCAACUGUUUUGCACCCGUUGUAUUUGAACGUAGAGCCUAUCACACCCGAUCAUCAUGUGGUGUCUCAGCACGAAGAACUUUUGCAACGGUGCAUACUCAGGGAGAACACUUCUUGAUAAUUAGUGAGAGAUCAUCUUAUAAUGCUACCGUCAAUCAAAGCAAGACAAGAUGCAUAAAAGAUAAACAUCACAUGCAAUCAAUAUAAGUGAUAUGAUAUGGCCAUCAUCAUCUUGUGCUUGUGAUCUCCAUCUUCGAAGCACCGUCGUGAUCACCAUCGUCACCGGCGCGACACCUUGAUCUCCAUCGUAGCAUCGUUGUCGUCUCCCCAAUCUUAUGCUUCCACGACUAUCGCUACCGCUUAGUGAUAAAGUAAAGCAUUACAGCGUGAUUGCAUUGCAUACAAUAAAGCGACAACCAUAUGGCUCCUGCCAGUUGCCGAUAACUCGGUAACAAAACAUGAUCAUCUCAUACAAUAAAAUUUAGCAUCAUGUCUUGACCAUAUCACAUCACAACAUGCCCUGCAAAAACAAGUUAGACGUCCUCUACUUUGUUGUUGCAAGUUUUACGUGGCUGCUACGGGCUUAAGCAAGAACCAAUCUUACCUACGCAUCAAAACCACAACGAUAGUUUGUCAAGUUGGUGCUGUUUUAACCUUCGCAAGGCCGGGCGUAGCCACACUCGGUUCAACUAAAGUUGGAGAAACUGUCACCCGCUAACCACCUUUAUGCAAAGCACGUCGGGAGAACCGGUCUCGCGUAAGCGUACGCGUAAUGUCGGUCCGGGCCGCUUCGUCCAACAAUACCGCCGAACCAAAGUAUGACAUGCUGGUAAGCAGUAUGACUUAUAUCGCCCACAACUCACUUGUGUUCUACUCAUGCAUAUAACACUGAUACCACUGUUGGGGAACGUAGUAAUUUCAAAAAAAUUCCUACGCACACGCAAGAUCAUGGUGAUGCAUAGCAACGAGAGGGGAGAGUGUGAUCUACGUACCCUUGUAGACCGACUGCGGAAGCGUUAGCACAACGCGGUUGAUGUAGUCAUACGUCUUCACGGCUCGACCGAUCAAGCACCAAAACUACGGCACCUCCGAGUUCUAGCACACGUUCAGCUCGAUGACGAUCCCCGGACUCCGAUCCAGCAAAGUGUCGGGGAAGAGUUCCGUCAGCACGACGGCGUGGUGACAAUCUUGAUGUACUACCGUCGCAGGGCUUCGCCUAAGCACCGCUACAAUAUUAUCGAGGACUAUGGUGGAAGGGGACACCGCACACGGUUAAGAAUAUGAUCACGUUGUCGGGGGAAACUGAUCCACCAACACCUAUGGGGACAGGGCCCCUUUCGGUUCGGAGGGGGGCGGUGGCCGCACAAAGAGCGGAUCGAGGCAGUACACGCGAGCAGUUUUACCCAGCUUCGGGCCGCACGGAUGCGUAAAACCCUACUGCUGCUUGUUUGUGUGUAUUGAACUCUUGCUCAGGAGCGAUGGACGCUGCCAGACUGAGCGUGAGAGUGUUCCUGAUGUUUCCAAUGAGGCGAACCCCUUCUACGUUGCGCUUGGGCCUCCUUUUAUACUUUCAAGGGGUCACCGACAGGUGGCAACGUACACUGGAAGGGUAAAAAAAUGGAAAAGGAUGCGGUAGGUGCAGCUACCGCUACUGUGGACACAGUGCACCCUACCUAACUCUGACGGCAGGGGACAAGGUCAUUGAAUGCCCGUCUGAGUUGCCUAAACAGUGCAAAAAGUGACCGUUAGGAGCGCCACCGUUUGCCACGUUGGCCUUCUCUUCAUCUCCGCUUGCCACCGCGUACCCCUGGCUGCACAGGCUCUCGCCACGCGCCCCUGAGGAAGCCUCAUGGCGACACGCGGGCGGGUGCGCUGGAGCGCGGGUAUGGGGUGGCAGCUGGCCCCCGGCAAGUACCUUGCCGGGGUCGUCGUCUUGUCGCGUCCGGAAGCUUGUCGCUCGCCGGAUCUUGCCGGGACGUGUGGUACGUCGCGGUAAGUUUCUUGUGGCGCCUUGGCUGGCCUUCCCGGCAAGCUCCUCUUGCCGGAGUCUUGUCUCUUCAUCUUAAAUACUUUGUUCUUGAAGGGGCUCCAAGGGAACCCACGGAGGACCCUGGCGGUCGUUCGGCAAGCCUUGCCGCGGGGCCCUGCAACUGUCCGUGCACGAGUUCGGGAUACUAGGGUACCCCUACUAUAGUACACCGACAGGAGCCCCCGGGCCUGGGCCAUACACGGUGCCGAGUGUUGUUGGGCCAGGCCCAAAACAGGGCACUGGCACGCGCGGGCCUGGGUAUGCCGAAUCUAACUCCGUAUCCACUGCACCCCCCGCAACGGCACGCGUCAAUCACGGCGCCGUGGGGGAGAUCGUGGGUGGUUCUUUAUUCGGAAAGAGCGCAACGUCCGCCCCUCCUCCUUAUAAGCAGGGGAAACAGGGGUAUUUCCCCUAUCUUCGUCAUUCGCUGCUGCAAUCUCAGAAACCUCCGCCGCCCUCCUCCGCUUCCAAAGUCGAAAGAGAGCAGCGCUCCGCUCCCGUCGCCGCCGCCACUACCAGCGCCGUCGAUCUCCCCCACCGCCUCCGCCAUGGCUCCGAAGCCCGGAAAGGGGAAGGCCGCGAAAGCUGUGAAGUCGACCGAAGCGCAGCGGCUUGAGGCGCUGCGGAAAGAGCGGGCCACCUUCCUCCCCGAGCUCUCCGCAAAGGAUCUGAGGGAGUGGUACUAUCUCUUCUGGUCGACGGAGACACGGGCGCAUCCGCGCACAAAGGUACUCUCCGCCAUCACCUCGCAAGAAGCUCCAGUUGGUGGGUACCCUUUCUUUGCCGUGUUCUUCUACUGCGGGCUCUGCCCGCCAUUCUCUGAUUUCUUCUGUGAUAUCAUGAACACCUACAGGCUCCACCUCCUUGAUUUUACCCCCAACGCCGUCUUGACCAUGGCAGUCUUCGCCCAUCUAUGCGAAAACUUUGUCGGAGUCCACCCCAACGUAGAUCUCUUCUGCCAUUUCUUCAUGCCCCGUGUCUAGAGAGGGGAAACCCUUGCCGGGGGGAUCGCCUGGAUCUCGCGAGCCGGCAAGAAGGAGACCUAUCUGGAGGGGGAGCUCCGCAGCAAGUGGGAUGAGUGGAGAGCAAACUGGUGCUGGGUUGUAGAGGAGAACCCGCAGCCGUUCACUGCCCUGCGCCAAGCUCCAGCAGUGCGAGGCAAUGAUUGGAGCGCUCUGUCCGCGGACGAUGACAAGUUGAAGAUCGCCACCACCCGGAUCUUGCGCCUCAGGCUUGCCGGGUUGACUGUAGGAGCUGUCGGCGCAGAUUUCCCCCGCCGCAUCGCCCCUCUGCAGGCGAAGGGGAGACCCGCCUGGGAAAUUGGAGGCCCGGCAGACAUCAUGAGGUUGCACCCAGGCCUCAACUUCAAUUUCACCGUCAUAGAAUUGGACGGGAUACUUAAGGAAAUAUUCAAGCACGACCCGCAGCAUCCCGAGUGGUUCAGGUUGCCGGCAGGCGUUGUGCCUCUGUGUAACAACUCCUCGCGCGACCGCAUCUGCGCAAUGAUGCCGUUGUGUGACUCGCACGGGAUCGCUCCAACUUGGCAAGAGCCCGCCGGCGACGUCGUGCAGCAGUUAUUCGACAGCCUAGUGGAGGUGGCGGUCAAUGCUGACGAGAAGAAGCUCCUCACCCGCGACACCACUGAUCAAGAGAUGGAGCGCAUCGCCACCAGGGCGGAAGAGGCGGCGGCAGCCGCGGCCGCGGGUGAAUUCGGGUUCACCGUGGAGGAAGCGGACGCGGCGUUGGCGAUGAGUCUUGCCAAACGGGAGCAGCCCGAAGAGGAAGAAGAGCUCGCCGCGCCCGACGCCGAGUCGAACGAGCCCGCCGAAGGUGCAAGCGGCCCGCCAUCUCCGAGGAGCUUGCCGCGAGCAGGGCCCACAGCGCAGCCCCCAGCGCAGCCAAGAAGGCGCCUCCGCAGGGUCGGCGACGUAGCAAGGCGGCAAGUGGGCCAACAGCCGCAGCAUCGUGCGACGCACUCUACCGCGGCAAGUACGGUUGCCGCGGGAGCGCCUCCUGCCGCAGCGACAACUGAAGCGGGGCCGUCUCGGGCUGGCGCUGCAGUCCCCGCCAAGCGGCCAAGGGAUCCCACCCCUCCACCUCGUCGCGCCGGGGGUGGGCCGAACUUCGACCUCUCCGCGCUCAGCUCCGACGAGGAGGAAGAAGAAGAAGAGUAAGAUUCCCUUGCUUGUUCUUGUAGUUCUUCAACUUGCUGAUCUUGUCUUGCAUCGGAUCUGAUCCACCCUGGGCUCUUAUUUUCAGGACUCUGGCCCAGAGGGCGGCGGAGAGGGCCAAGGCUCAGGUGGUGGUCAUCGAGGACGAGCCCACUGCGACGACAGGAGGCGCGCCCGAGACCACCUUGCCGGAUCCGGCCAUCACUUCGCAGAGCAGCCCCCAGCGCAGCCCCCAGCGUAAGCAUAUGGUUUACUUUCUGCUUUUGGGUGCACGUGGUUGCUCUUUUCCUUUGUUGACAUCUGAUCACUGGUUUGUUUGUGCAGGAGCAGAACAGCUUCAUCAGGAGGGCGUGGUGAUCUCCUCUGACUCGUCGUCUGCUUCGACUACGCCACCAAGGGUGGACCCCCCGGCAAGGGAGCGUCCUCCGGUAAGGGAGGAGCCUCCGGCAAGGGAGGAGUCUCCGGCAAGGGACAGCGCUAACGAUCCGCCGGUGGUGGAGGUCAUGACAGCAGAUCCUAGCACAGGUAGUCCUUCUUGCCCGAAACUUUCCUUGUAGUCUUCUGCUGAUUUCUCUUCUCGGAUACUUGUUUGAUUUCUCCUUCUUCUCCGGUUGUCAGACCCACCCUCCGCGGAUCCGAUGGAGACCGAGGCGGGCGGCGAGGAGGACGCGCGCGGCAAUAUUGAUGAUGCCGCGGCCACCGAAGAAGGAGCCGGCGCUGACGUGCCCGCCGGCGAAGAGGCCGCCAAGGCUGCUGCCGAAGAAGCUGGCGGGGGAUCUGGCAAUCGCACUGACGGUCCUGAGACCGCAGGAGCUCCAGGCGCUGCACUGACCGCCGAUCCCUCCGCUGCUGCCGCGGCGGCAGACUCCGAGGAGUCCCAGCCCGACGCCUAUCUGAAGGCCGGCGAGGGCAUCUUCAUCAAGCUCCCCUGGGCGUCGAGCUCCAGGGCGCCGAUGGAAGGAGAAGCUCUGGAUGGGGAGGUGCUUGCCUCCGCCGGGUUGUCGAUCGUCGACGCGCCGGGAAGCAGCAGCGGCGAGCCUGAGGAGGAGCGGCUGCUACGGAGGCUGCUGGCGCUCUACCGCGCCCGCCAAGUCAAGUUGGAGUCCCGGGAAGCGCUUGUCGCGAGGGCGAGCGUGGACAUAGAGAAGCGUGCAGAGGAGCUCUGGGGUCUUCGCCAAGAAACUCUCCGGGCCUUGGGGAGGAGCAGGAGCAGCUUGCUGAGGAGCGGAAGGCCUUCCUCCUUGAGAAGGCUGAGGCUGAAGAGCAGCAGCGGCUCACCGGCGAGAAGUUGUACGCGCGAGAAGGCGAGCUGACUCAGCGAAAAGUGAACCUCGACAGCCACGAAGAGGAGCUUGCCGCGCGCGAACGGGCACUUGGCGGGAUGCUCCAAGAGGCAAAGGAUGCGGCUGCGGCUGCCGAGGCCGCCAAGAAAGAAUUGGAGGCAAAGGUGGCGCAGCUAGAAGCUGAUCUGAAGGUUGGUGGCGAAGAGCUUGCCGCGCUCAAGCUAGAGCGCGAGAAGGACGCCCUUGCCCACGGUGAGCUGCAGGGCCGACUCGCCGAGAGGGGCAAGGAACUGAGCGCCGCCAAGGAUUCCAACGCAGAUCUGACGCUGAAGCUGGCCACCUUGACGGAGACGUUGGACAGCGCCAGGAAACGGGAGGCAAACUUGAAGAAAGACAUCAAGGCCAAUGAUGCGCUGCUGGCAAGGGCCGCCGAAACCCAGAAUCUCCUCAGAGAUACCGUGGCGCUCUGGACGGAGGGCCUCGUGAACGUUGCUGCAGUCAUUGAAGAGGAGCUGGUGCAGUUGGGGGUGGAAGGCUUCGGGUACUCCUCCGACGAGAACCUCCAACCCAGCGCCAAGCUCACUCUGUUCUUCAAAGGCGUGGCGGCGGCGCUCCAGCAACUCCGGGAACGGAUCCCAAAGCAGUUGGCCGACGAGUCACGCUCGAUUUGUGCCGGAGUUCUGGAGAAGGUGCUGGUGAAGGUGGCCUUCCGCAAUCCGGGCCUCAACCUCACCAACGUCCUCAAGAGGCUGCCGGCGGACGCUGAUCUUGACGCACUUAAGGCCCUCGUCGCACCCAUUGUGGACAGGGUGAACGAGGUCAAAAGGGUUGACGCCGGUCGCGUAGAUUAGGUCGUCCAUUUUCUUCUUUUCUUGCCGCUGCCAGUCAUGUCAUGGGAACACUUUAUUAGAGGCGCGACAAGUUAUUUUUGUAAUAUAACUCUAUCUUAGGUAAAAAAUUGUUGUGUUACUUCCUUUACUCGACUCUUGGCUUUGUAUGGUUCUGCCCUAUGCUUUCUAGGGAAACUUGCCGGUGCAGGCACCCUUGCCGCGAGCGCCGAGUGCGGAACUUUAGCAGCCUGCUGGCGGGGUCGCUACCGACAAGCAACCUUGUCGCAACUAGUUGCAGCUCACUUAAGUUGUUGAGCGGACUCGAAACAAAGUAAGGGCGCAGCUAGCUACGAGUUGGUUCCUCCGCGCACAGGUUUUCCAUACAAAGCACGGUCGUUCAAGGAAAAUAACUCAAAAACUUAAAAAACUGAUUGCUCAAACUUUAGCAACUUAGCUUUUCUGUCGUCUGCUUCCCGGCAAGGAGAAACUUUCUUGAACGGCCUGGUCCACACCAUUAUCUUCUCCUCCCCCCCUCCCCCCGGUAAACCUUGUGGGCGAGGGAACCUUCCUUCUUUUGAGAAAGAAACAUAGAAAUAAAGUAAUGAUAUGGAGCCUUGGGCUCGCUAUCGCUUACCGGGGUCUGGUGCUGCACAAAGUGUCAGAUAAUAUAUGCGAAAAAAAGGAUUAUAGCAUAAAAAAACUGACAAGAUGUGCGGGGCACAUGAACUUUACUGGUGCACGGGGUCUGCGCCCGGCUUUGUACAAAGGAUUACAUGCAACAUCGGCAAGACUUGUACAAAAGGUGGUUGCCGGAAAAGCUUCCGGCAACCGCGCCCUACGGGUAAAACUUACGAAGAUGUUCUAUGUUCCAGGAGUUGCUCACCGGAAUUCCAUCUUCGGUCUCAAGGAGGACAGCGCCGGGCCUAGUGACUUGUUUCACCCGAUAAGGGCCUUCCCACUUCGGCGUCAACUUGUUGGAAUUCUUGGCGGACUAAACACGCCGAAGAACAAGGUCGCCUUCCUCGAAGCUACUGGCUUUAACUUUGCGGCUAUGGUAGCGACGCAAAGCUUGCUGGUAGCGAGCGGCUCGCACAGCAGCCUGAAGACGGUCUUCCUCAAGGAGCAGCGCGUCAUCUUGUCGCAGCUGCUCUUGCUCGAGCUCAUCAUAAGCGAGCACUCGAGGCGACCCGUAAACGAGUUCCAUGGGGAGAACUGCCUCCGCUCCGUAUACUAGAGCGAAGGGUGUCUGGCCAGUGGCUUGAUUUGGCGUCGUCCUGAUCGACCAAAGAACCACCGGCAGCUCCUCGAUCCAGUUUCUUCCGCACUUGUGCAGCCUGUCGAAAGUUCUGGUCUUGAGCCCCCGCAGCACUUCAGCGUUUGCCCUCUCCGCUUGACCGUUGCUUCUCGGGUGAGCAACAGAAGUGAAGCAGACCUUGGCGCCAAGAUCUUGGACAUACUGCAUGAAGGUGCGGCUCGUAAAUUGCGUGCCGUUGUCAGUGAUGAUCCUGUUAGGAACCCCGAAACGGCAAAUAAUCGACCUGAAGAACUUGACUGCUGACUGUGCUGUCACCUUCCUCACUGGAUCCACUUCCGGCCACUUUGUGAACUUGUCGAUGGCGACGUACAAGAACUCAAAGCCCCCGACAGCUCGGGGAAAGGGGCCGAGGAUGUCGAGCCCCCAGACCGAAAAUGGCCAGGAUAAAGGGAUCGUCUGGAGAGCUUGAGCUGGCGGAUGUAUCUGUUUGGAAUGGAACUGGCACGCUUCACACUUGGUUACUUGUGCAGUUGCAUCCUGGAGGGCUGUCGGCCAGAAGAAACCUUGUCGGAAUGCUUUGCCGGCAAGUGCUCUUGCGCCAAUGUGGUGACCACAUAUGCCUCCAUGUAUCUCUGCCAACAGUUGUUGUCCAUCUUCCCGGCGAAUGCACUUCAAUUUCACACCGUUGAGUCUUAUUCUGUACAGUGUGUUGUCGACAAACUUGUACAUACUUGACUGCCGGGCUACUCUUUCCGCUUCUUCUUGCUCUUCGGGAAGCUCUCCUGUCUGAAGGAAACGGACAAUCUGCUGCGCCCAUGCUGGAGCUUGUGGCUCGACAACAAGGACUAAAGGCGUAUCUAUUGCUGCGGGAACAUCUGCUUCCACGGCAAGAACCUGCGGCUCUGCCGGAGCGUGAUGCUCCCCGACAAGCUUGCCAGAGCAAGACUUGUCGGGAGCGUAUGCUUCAACGAAACAAGCCAUAAGGCUUGCCGGAGCAAACUGCUCCUCAGCACUCUUGGCGUCUAUAUUGGGGACCUUCUUGGCGGCGGCUUCGGGAAGCUCUGCCGGAAAGUAGUCACCAGAAACCAACUUCCUCUUCUUAUUCUGUCCAGUUGAUGGUGUCACGGAUGGUUGAGUCAGCUUGAGCACAAAGAUCCCUGGUUCCACAGGCAACUUUAGUGCAGCGCACUUUGACAGGCCAUCAGCAAUGUCAUUAUGAGCUCGCGGAACAUGCUCCAUUUGCAGGCCGUCAAAGUGUUCUUCUAGCUUUCUCACUUCAUCAACAUAAGCUUCCAUCAAUGAACUCUGGUAGUUCUUGUUCACUUGGCGGACGACAAGCUGCGAGUCACCCCUUACAAUGAGUUUCUUGAUCCCAAGGUUGGCUGCGAUUCUAAGGCCGGCAAGCAAACCCUCAUACUCUGCAGUAUUGUUCGUUGCUUGCUCCUUGGGAAAGUGCAUCUGGAUUACGUACUUGAGGUGCUCUCCAGUGGGUGCGAUAAGCAGCACGCCCGCACCGGCGCCUUGCAGCGAGAAGGCACCAUCAAAGUACAUCAGCCACUCUUUGCUUGCCUCUUUAACGGGGAUGCUCGUCUCUGGAAUUUCUUCGUCUGGGGUUGGCGUGCACUCUGCUAUGAACUCUGCCAAUGCCCUGCUUUGGAUCGUUGCAGUGCUCUCAAACUUGAGGCCAAAGCUUGACAGUUCCAAUGCCCACUCGACAAUCCUGCCUGUUGCUUCUGGAUUCUGCAGUAUCCUCUUCAGCGGAAAGCGAGUGACAACUGUGAUCUCGUGUGCCUGGAAAUAAUGGCGCAGCUUUCUCGAGGCCAUGAGAAGGCCGAAAAGCAAUUUUUGCACACCAGAGUACCUCGACCUAGCCCCCUGGAGAAGGGAGCUGACAAAGUAAACUGGGCGCUGCACCAUCUUAUUCUGCACCUCCUUGCACGUCUGCGCAGAUUCAUCUUUGUCGGGACCAGAGCUUGUCGGAGAAGCCCCCUGCUUGUCGCUGGAUUCACUUGUCGCGGUCGCUGGCUCAUCAUCUGCCUCCCUCUCUGCUACUAACGCAGCACUAACCACUUGAUUGGUUGCCGCUAGGUACAGCAGCAACUUCUCUUGUGGCUUAGGUGCGACAAGUAUUGGAGUGGAGGACAGGUACCUCUUCAAGUCCUGCAGCGCAUCCUCCGCUUCCGGAGUCCAUUUCAUUGGACCUGCCUUUUUCAAUAUUUUGAAAAACGGCAGGGCGCGCUCAGCAGACUUAGAGAUAAACCUGCUGAGAGCAGCCACGCAACCGGCAAGCCUUCGCACAUCCUUGACGCGCUUCCGUGCUUCAAUCUGCUCGAUGGCCUUGAUCUUGUCGGGGUUGGCUUCAAUUCCCCGCUGAGACACAAAGAACCCGAGAAGCUUGCCGGAAGGGACUCCAAACACGCACUUCUCGGGGUUGAGCUUGAGGUUGAUCCUGCGCAGAUUUGCAAAAGUUUCUUCUAAAUCUUGGAUCAGGGUAGCCUUGUCCUUGCUCUUGACCACUAUAUCAUCCAUGUAGGCUUCCACAUUUCUGUGUAUCUGUGGCUCAAAAGCGACAUGGACUACCCUUGCAAAUGUUGAACCAGCAUUCUUCAACCUAAAGGGCAUCCGUACAAAACAGUAUGUGCCGCAAGGGGUGAUAAAUGCGGUUUUUUCCUCAUCCUCUUCUGCCAUGAAGAUCUGAUGGUAUCCUGAAUAUGCAUCAAGAAAUGAGAGCAAAUCACAUCCAGCUGUGGAGUCAACAAUCUGGUCAAUGCGCGGCAAGGGAAAUGGAUCUUUGGGACAAGCUUUAUUAACAUCAGUGAAGUCAAUACAAAGUCUCCAUUUCCCGUUCGCCUUGCGCACGACUACAGGAUUGGCCAACCACGUGGGAUGGAGCACUCCUCUGACAAGGCCUGCUGCUUCCAAUUUCCUGAUCUCUUCUGCAAUGAACUCUUGGCGCUCCACUGCUUGCUUCCUGACUCUCUGCUUGACGGGCCACGCAUGAGGACAGACGGAAAGGUGGUGCUCGAUUACUUUCCUGGGAACACCGGGGAUAUCAGACGGUUGCCAUGCAAACACGUCGACAUUCGCCCGCAGGAAAGCAACGAGCGCGCUUUCCUAUUUGGGGUCAAGCGUGGCACUGAUGGUGAAGGUACCACCAGUGCCGUCCUCCUUGGCGGACACCUUCUUGGUCUCGGGUGGAGCUACCAUCGUCUUCUUGCACUUGCCGGUGGAGCUCGAUGGUGUGUCCUCGAUGGUAGCGCAGCACUUUGAAGAGGUGCGCUUGCCGGAGUGGGCAUCAGAGCUCUUGCCGGACUUUGUCUUCUUCUUCCCCCCGGGAGCUUCAGCGGCAAGUGUGUUGUGAUCAGCUGCGGCUGCUGCUUCCCGGUAGAUCUUGUCGGCGCAGAUAAGGGCAUCCUUCUUGUCGCCAGGGACAGAGAUGACACUUAUUGGGCCUGGCAUCUUGAGCAUGUUGUAUGCAUAGUGAGAGGCUGCCAUAAACUUAGCGAGCGCUGGACGGCCAAGGAUCCCAUUGUAGGGCAAUGGAAAAUCGGCAACAUCAAAUGUGACCCUCUCAGUUCUGAAGUUCAUCUCGCUGCCAAAUGUGACCGGCAGCGUGAUCUUUCCCUUCGACUUGCUUCUUCCCGGGCUGAUUCCUUGGAAUGUGCCGGUCUCUUCGAGCUCGCUGUCAGGGAUCUGAAGUUUCUGGAGGACCACGGAGGAUAUCAGGUUCAAGCCGGCCCCGCCGUCAACUAGCAUCUUUGUGACCUUGAGGUUGCGGAUAGUUGGUGAAACCAACAUCGGCAAACACCCGACCGCAGUUACGCGAUCAGGGUGAUCCUCAAUGUCAAAGAUGAUAGGCGUGCUGGACCAUUUCAGAGGCUUGCGUGACUCUACGGAUGGUUCCGCUGCAUUAACCUCCCGCAUCCACUGCUUGAGUUGGUGGUGCGAAGUAUGCAGAGAAGCACCACCGUCAACGCACAGGACCUCUGUAGCUUUCUGAGAUUCCUGCUCAUCGGCCUCAUCAUCAUCCACGUCUUCGUCAUCGUUGUCGUAUUCAUCCUUGUCGCGGCCGCGGGGAGGUCUGUCUCCUUGCCGCUGCUUGGCCUUGCUGCGGCGUCCUCCUCGGCCGGGACGUUUCUUGCCGGAUCCACCAGUUCCUUCCUGGGCCUUCUCCUUGUCGCGCCGCUUGUACUCAGCUUUCUGUUGCUCAACAAGCUAUUCGACUUUCUUGCAGUUCUGAAGAUCGUGACCCUUGGUGCGGUGAAUCUUACAAUACUGCUUGCCGGAGCUGUCCUGCUUGUCGGCGGCCGCCACAGGCUGGGCUUCCUUGCCGGAGCCACCAUCCUUAGUUUCCUUGGCGCCACCUCCGUUGCCGGUCUGCUCGACAGCUAGCACUUCCUUGGCCUUUUUCCUUCUGUUGUUCUGCCGCCGGCCUUUCUUUGCCGGGGCGGCAUCCUCACUGUCGGAUCCUCCUGCUCCUGUACUCUCUCCGGGGAGCCUCCUUCCCUCUUCAGUGCGUGCACACUUGUCGGCCAGGGCGUAAAGCUCGCUGACGUCUCUGAUCUUACACAUCGCCAUCUCCUCCCAUAUCCUUCGGUUUCGCACGUUCUGAUGGAACGCGCUGAUGAUCGCGGCGGGGUGGACGUCUGGGAUGUUGUGUUGUACACGGUUGAAUCUCUGAAUGUACUUGCGCAGUGGCUCUCCUUCCUUCUAGGCGAGCAGAUGAAGAUCGCUUUCUUGGCCAUGUGGCUUUUGGCCGCCUGUAAAGGCGUCGACAAACUGAUGGCAUAAAUCUGCCCAAGAGGAGAUGGAAUUGUCCGGCAAGUGCAUGAGCCAGGACCUGACGUUGGGCUUGAGUACCAGUGGGAAGUAGUUGGCAAGGAUCUUGUCGUCCCGUCCCCCGGCAGCCUGCACCGCGAUGGUGUAGAUGCUGAGAAACUCCGACGGAUGCGUCUUGCCAUCGUACUUCUCUGGUACGUCUGGUUUAAAAUUCUUUGUGCUGGGCCACUGGACUUGCCGCAGCUCACGGGUGAACGCAGGGCAACCAUAUACGUACGGCAGAUCGCCUGGUUCCCCUGGCGCAUGCAUGUCAACAGAGGGCCCAGCGCGCUUGUCGGAUUGACGUCGUGCUUCUCUUCGGCGCUCGAUGCGGGUUCGAGCGUCUUCUUGUUGUCGUUCAUGGAGAACUUGGCGCUGGUCGCGACGAGCUCGUGGGUCCGACGACGCGGUGGAGCCGCUGUCGGGGUGGACCCGGCGAGUCGGCGAUUUUGGCCUUCGUAGUGGAGAGUGCAUGGAAGUCGCACCUCCCCCGGUCUUGUUGCCAUCGGCUCGCGUCCGGUUGUCCUGCCGUGGCAGCGAGGUGCUUGGUUGCCACGCAGAGUCACCGUUUGCGAAGCCGAUGAGGCUCUGGAUAGUGGCCCUCCAUUCGUCGGUCUUGUCCGCCGUCGGAGGAUAGUCUAGGAUCAGUUGAGCUCGCGCCAAGGCUUCUGCUGGAGUGGUGGGCGGCGGAGGUGAACGGUGCGAGGAGUGGGGCGUGCUCGGACUUCUAACCACGUUAGAAGGAGCAGUGCCCCAUCCAGGCGACCGUACUUCGCUCGAGCCAGCAUGUUGACGUGCAUGUUGGUCUUGAGCGCCAUGAGAACCACCAGCUUGAUCUUGGCCCAGCGGACGUAUGGCGCUGCGAAUGCCAUGACGCUGCUGGUCCCGCGCCUCCUGAGAGGGGCGCUGUGCGCGCAUGGACGCCGAGGUCUGUGCCGCCUUGUCCUUGGACUUGGCCGCACUGAGGGCUCCCUCGUCGACGCCCAUUCUUCCGCCGGCGUCCACUCCACCACCCGUUUGCUCCAUAGGCGGUGAAAGCGACGCAGACGGAACAGCUGCCUCCGAAUCCUUCUUCUUCGGUGGCAUGUCGAUGAAGACGAUGAAGAUUUAGCUCGCGUGCACGCCGGAUCGGGUUCACACAAUCUCGACGCCCCCUACCUGGCGCGCCAAAGAUGUCGGGGGAAACUGAUCCACCAACACCUAUGGGGACAGGGCCCCUUUCGGUUCGAAGGGGGGCGGAGGCCGCACAAAGAGCGGAUCGAGGCAGUACAUGCGAGCAGUUUUACCCAGCUUCGGGCCGCACGGAUGCGUAAAACCCUACUGCUGCUUGUUUGUGUGUAUUGAAUUCUUGCUCAGGAGCGAUGGACGCUGCCAGACUGAGCGUGAGAGUGUUCCUGAUGUUUCGAAUGAGCCGAACCCCUUCUACAUUGCGCUUGGGCCUCCUUUUAUACUUUCAAGGGGUCACCGACAGGUGGCAACGUAGACUGGAAGGGUAAAAAAAUGGAAAAGGAUGCGGUAGGUGCAGCUACCGCUACUGUGGACACAGUGCACCCUACCUAACUCUGACGGCAGGGGACAAGGUCAUUGAAUGCCCAUCUGAGUUGCCUAAACAGUGCAAAAAGUGACCGUUAGGAGCGCCACCGUUUGCCACGAUGGCCUUCUCUUCAUCUCCGCUUGCCACCGCGUACCCCUGGCUGCACAGGCUCCCGCCACGCGCCCCUGAGGAAGCCUCAUGGCGACACGCGGGCGGGUGCGCUGGAGCGCGGGUAUGGGGUGGCAGCUGGCCCCCGGCAAGUACCUUGCCGGGGUCGUCGUCUUGUCGCGUCCGGAAGCUUGUCGCUCGCCGGAUCUUGCCGGGACGUGUGGUGCGUCGCGGUAAGUUUCUUGUGGCGCCUUGGCUGGCCUUCCCGGCAAGCUCCUCUUGCCGGAGUCUUGUCUCUUCAUCUUAAAUACUUUGUUCUUAAAGGGGCUCCAAGGGAACCCACGGAGGACCCUGGCGGUCCUUCGGCAAGCCUUGCCGCGGGGCGCUGCAACUGCUCGUGCACGAGUUCGGGAUACUAGGGUACCCCUACUAUAGUACACCGACACACGUGGAUCAACUUGUGUGUCUAGGGUGCCCCCUUCCCCCAUAUAUAAAGGAUCAAAGGGGGGUGCGGCCGGCCAGGAGGAGGGCGCGCCAGGAGGAGUCCUACUCCCACCGGGAGUAGGAUCCCCCCCCCUUUCCUAGUUGGAAUAGGAUUCGGGAGGGGGAAAGAGGAGAGAGAGAAGGAAGGGGGGCGCCGCCCCCCUCUCCUUAUCCUAUUCAGACUAGGGGGAGGGGCGCGCGGCCCAACCCUGGCCACCUCUCCUCUCUUCCACUAAAGCCCACUAAGGCCCAUAUACCUCCCGGGGGGUUCCUGGUACUCCGGUAAAAUCCCGAUUUCACCCGGAACACUUCCAAUAUCCAAAUAUAGGCUUCCAAUAUAUCAAUCUUUAUGUCUCAACCAUUUCGAGACUCCUCGUCAUGUCCGUGAUCACAUCCGGGACUCCGAACAAACUUCGGUACAUCAAAAUGCAUAAACUCAUAAUAUAACUGUCAUCGAAACCUUAAGCGUGCGGACCCUACGAGUUCGAGAACAAUGUAGACAUGACCGAGACACGUCUCCGGUCAAUAACCAAUAGCGGAACCUGGAUGCUCAUAUUGGCUCCUACAUAUUCUACGAAGAUCUUUUAUCGGUCAGACGGCAUAACAACAUACGUUGUUUCCUUUGUCAUCGGUAUGUUACUUGCCCGAGAUUCGAUCGUCGGUAUCUCAAUACCUAGUUCAAUCUCGUUACCGGCAAGUCUCUUUACUCGUUCCGUAAUACAUCAUCUCACAACUAACUCAUUAGUUGCAAUGCUUGCAAGGCUUAUGUGGUGUGCAUUACCGAGAGGGCCCAGAGAUACCUCUCCGACAAUCGGAGUGACAAAUCCUAAUCUCGAAAUAUGCCAACCCAACAUGUACCUUUGGAGACACCUGUAGAGCACCUUUAUAAUCACCCAGUUAUGUUGUGACGUUUGGUAGCACACAAAGUGCUCCUCCGGCAAACGGGAGUUGCAUAAUCUCAUAGUCAUAGGAACAUGUAUAAGUCAUGAAGAAAGCAAUAGCAACAUACUAAACGAUUGGGUGCUAAGCUAAUGGAAUGGGUCAUGUCAAUCAGAUCAUUCACCUAAUGAUGUGAUCCUGUUAAUCAAAUAACAACUCUUUGUCCAUGGUUAGGAAACAUAACCAUCUUUGAUUAACGAGCUAGUCAAGUAGAGGCAUACUAGUGACACUCUGUUUGUCUAUGUAUUCACACAUGUAUUAUGUUUCCGGUUAAUACAAUUCUAGCAUGAAUAAUAAACAUUUAUCAUGAUAUAAGGAAAUAAAUAAUAACUUUAUUAUUUCCUCUAGGGCAUAUUUCCUUCACAUGAACCAUGGAUAUAGCACUAUGGGUGGAAUAGAAUAUAAUGAGGGGGGUUGUGUGGAGAAGACAAAAAGGAGAAAGUCGCACAUCAACGAGGCUAAUCAAUGGGCUAUGGAGAUGCCCAUCGAUUAAUGUUAAUGCAAGGAGUAGGGAUUGUCAUGCAACGGAUGCACUAGAGCUAUAAAUGUAUGAAAGCUCAACAAAAGAAACUAAGUGGGUGUGCAUCCAACUUGCUUGCUCACGAAGACCUAGGGCACUUGAGGAGGCCCAUUGUUGGAAUAUACAAGCCAAGUUCUAUAAUGAAAAUUCCCACUAGUAUAUGAAAGUGAUAACUCAAGAGACUCUCUAUAUGAAGAACAUGGUGCUACUUUGAAGCACAAGUGUGNNNNNNNNNNNNNNNNNNNNNNNNNNNNNNNNNNNNNNNNNNNNNNNNNNNNNNNNNNNNNNNNNNNNNNNNNNNNNNNNNNNNNNNNNNNNNNNNNNNNNNNNNNNNNNNNNNNNNNNNNNNNNNNNNNNNNNNNNNNNNNNNNNNNNNNNNNNNNNNNNNNNNNNNNNNNNNNNNNNNNNNNNNNNNNNNNNNNNNNNNNNNNNNNNNNNNNNNNNNNNNNNNNNNNNNNNNNNNNNNNNNNNNNNNNNNNNNNNNNNNNNNNNNNNNNNNNNNNNNNNNNNNNNNNNNNNNNNNNNNNNNNNNNNNNNNNGACAAUGCUCUAUUGAAUGAUGAUCAUCACACUUCUAUUUAUUUACAACUUAAUGAUUACAACUCGAUACUAGAACAAAGUAUGACUCUAUAUGGAUGCCUCCGGCGGUGUACCGGGAUAUGCAAUGAAUCAAGAGUGACAAGUAUGAAAAAUUAUGAACGGUGGCUUUUCCACAAAUACUUAUGUCAACUACAUGAUCAUGCUAAGCAAUAUGACAAUGAUGAAUGUGUCAUGAUAAACUGGAUGGUGGAAAGUUGCAUGGCAAUAUAUCUCGGAAUGGCUAUGGAAAUGCCAUAAUAGGUAGGUAUGGUGGCUGUUUUGAGGAAGAUAUAAGGAGGUUUAUGUGUGAAAGAGUGUAUCAUAUCACGGGAUUUGGAUGCACCGGCGAAGUUUGCGCCAACUCUCAAUGUGAGAAAGGGCAAUGCACGGUACCGAAGAGGCUAGCAAGGAUGGAAGGGUGAGAGUGCGUAUAAUCCAUGGACUCAACAUUAGUCAUAAAGAACUCACAUACUUAUUGCAAAAAUCUACAAGUCAUCAAAAACCUCGGCACUACGCGCAUGCUCCUAGGGGGAUAGAUUGGUAGGAAAAGACCAUCGCCCGUCCCCGACCGCCAUUCAUAAGGAGGACAAUCAAAUAACACCUCAUGUUUCAAAUUUGUUACACAAUGUUUACCAUACGUGCAUGCUACGGGACUUGUAAACUUCAACACAAGCAUUUGUCAGUUUCACAACUACUCAACUAGCAUGACUUUGAUAUUAUUACCUCCAUAUCUCAAAACAAUCAUCAAGCAUCAAACUUCUCAUAGUAUUCAACGCACUCAUAAGAGAAUUUUAUUAUUCUUGUAUACCUAGCAUAUUAGGAUUUUAAGCAAAUUACCAUGCUAUUUAAGACUCUCAAAAUAAUCUAACUGAAGCAUGAGAUUUCAUCUAUUUCUUCAAAAUAAAACUACCACCAUGCUCUAAAAGAUAUAAGUGAAGUACUAGAGCAAAUGACAAACUACUCCGAGAGAUUUAAGUGAAGAUCAAUGAGUAGUCGAAUAAUUAUGCAACUAUGUGAAGACUCUCUAACAUUUAAUAAUUUCAGACCUUGGUAUUCUAUUCAAACAGCAAGAAAAGCAAAAUAAAAUGACAUUCUAAGAAUGGCAAGCAUCAUGUGAAUAAGCAAAAACUUAGGAUCAAUCGAUACUAACCGAUAGUUGUUGAAGAAGAAAGGUGGGAUGCCAACCGGGGCAUCCCCAAGCUUAGACGCUUGAGACUUCUUGAAAUAUUAUCUUGGGGUGCCUUGGGCAUCCCCAAGCUUGAGCUUUUGUGUCUCCUUAAUUCCUCUCAUAUCACGGUCUCCCUAAAUCUCAAAAGCUUCAUCCACACAAAACUCAACAAGGACUCGUGAGAUAAGUUAGUAUAAACCAUUGCAAAAACCUUAUCAUACUCUACUGUAGAAAAUCACUAAAAUUAUUAUUCAACAUUGCAUACUAAAUGCCUCUGCAUAUUUAAUAGUCCUAUCCUCAAAUAGAAUCAUUAAAGAAGCAAACAUAUGCAAACAAUGCAAACAUAACAGCAAUCUGCCUAAACCGGAUAGUCUGUAAAGAAUGCUGCAACAUCCAUACUUCCCUAGCUCCAAAAAUUAUGAAAGAAAAUUCCCACUGUAGUAAAUUUAUCAGAGAUUAAUAUGCAAAAAGUCUCAACAUUUUAUCACAUUCUGAAUUUUCUAGGGAAUUAUUGCAACAGCGGUAAACUUUCUGUUUUCAAACAGCAACAUGUAUACUUGUAACAUAGGCAUAGUAAAGGCUAUCAAUGCCACUUUUAUUGAAAUAAAAGAUGCAAAACAUUGUUCUAAAUAACAGCAAGCAAAUCCUAACAAAAUAAAUUGACGCUCCAAGCAAAACACAUAUCAUGUGGUAAAUAAAAAUAUAGCUCCAAGUAAAGUUACCGAUGAACGAAGACGAAAGAGGGGAUGCCUUCCGGGUCAUCCCCAAGCUUAGGCUCUUGUCUAUCCUUGAAUAUUACCUUGGGGUGACUUGGGAAUCCCCAAGCUUAGGAUCUUGCCACUCCUUAUUCCAUAGUCCAUCGAAUCCUUACCCAAAACUUGAAAACUUCACAACACAAAACUUAACAGAAAAAUCGUAAGCUCCGUUAGUAUAAGAAAAUAAAUCACCACUUCAAGGUACUGUGAUGAACUCAUUAUUUAUUUGUAUUGGUGUUAAACCUACUGUAUUCCAACUUCUCUAUGGUUUAUAAACUAUUUUACUAGCCAUAGAUUCAUCAAAAUAAGUAAACAACACAUGAAAAAUAGAAUCUGUCAAAAACAGAACAGUCUGUAGUAAUCUGGAUCAAACGUAUACUUCUAGAACUCAUAAAAUUCUCAAAUAUAUUUCUGGACCUGAGGAAUUUAUCUAUUAAUCAUCUGAAAAAAUAAUUAACUAAAUAGCACUCUCCAAAUAAAAAUGUCAGCAAUUCUCGUGAGCGCUAAAGUUUCUGUUUUUUACAGCAUGAUCAACAAGACUAUCCCCAAGUCUUCCCAAAGGUUCUACUUGGCACAAACACUAAUUAAAAGAAUAAAACCACAUCUAAACAGAGGCUAGAUGAAUUAUUCAUUACUAAACAGGAAAAAAAAGCAAGGAACAAUAAUAAAAUUGGGUUGCCUCCCAACAAGCGCUAUCGUUUAACGCCUCUAGCUAGGCAUGAUGAUUUCAACGAUGCUCACGUAAAAGAUAAGAAUUGAAACAUAAAGAGAGCAUCAUGAAGAAUAUGAAUAGUACAUUUAAUUCUAACAUGAUUCCUAUGCAUAGGGAUUUUGUGAGCAAACAACUUGUGGGAACAAUAAUCAACUAGCAUAGGAGGGCAAAACAAGCAUAACUUCAAAAUUUUAAGCACAUAGAGAGGAAACUUGAUAUUAUUGCAAUUCCUACAAGCAUAUGUUCCUCCCUCAUAAUAAUUUUCAGUAGUAUCAUGAGUGAAUUCAACAAUAUAACCAGCACCUAAAGCAUUCUUUUCAUGAUCUACAAGCAUAUAAAUUUUAUUACUCUCCACAUAAGCAAAAUUCUUCUCAUGGAUAAUAGUGGGAGCAAACUCAACAAAAUAACUAUCAUGUGAUUGAAAAUUAAGAUCAAGAUGACAAGUUUCAUGGUUAUCAUUAUUCUUUAAAGCAUACGUGUGAUCACAAUAAUCAUCAUAGAUAGGAGGCAUGCUUUCAUCAUAGUAAAUUUGCUCAUCAAAGCUUGGGGAAUAAAAAAUAUCAUCUUCAUCAAACAUAGCUUCCCCAAGCUUGUGGCUUUGCAUAUCAUUAGCAUCAUGGAUAUUCAAGGAAUUCAUACUAACAACAUUGCAAUCAUGCUCAUCAUUCAAAUAUUUAGUGCCAAACAUUUUAUAGAUUUCUUCUUCUAGCACUUGAGCACAAUUAUCCUUUCCAUCAUACUCACGAAAGAUAUUAAAAAGGUGAAGCGUAUGAGACAAACUCAAUUCUAUUUUUUAUAGUUUUCUUUUAUAAACUAAACUAGUGAUAAAACAAGAAACUAGAAGACUCGAUUGCAAGAUCUAAAGAUAUACCUUCAAGCACUCACCUUCCCGGCAACGGCGCCAGAAAAGAGCUUGAUGUCUACUACACAACCUUCUUCUUGUAGACGUUGUUGGGCCUCCAAGUGCAGAGGUUUGUAGGACAGUAGCAAAUGUCCCUCAAGUGGAUGACCUAAGGUUUAUCAAUCCGUAGGAGGCGUAGGAUGAAGAUGGUCUCUCUCAAGCAACCCUGCAAUCAAAUAACAAAGAGUCUCUUGUGUCCCCAACACACCCAAUACAAUGGUAAAUUGUAUAGGUGCACUAGUUCUGCGAAGAGAUGGUGAUACAAGUGGUAUAUGGAUAGUAGAUAUGGGUAUUUGUAAUCUGAAAUUAUAAAAAAAGCAAGGUAACUAAUGAUAAAAGUGAGCGUAAACGGUAUUGCAAUGAUAGGAAACAAGGCCUAGGGUUCAUACUUUCACUAGUGUAAGUCCUCUCAACAAGGAUCACAUAACUAUCCCUCAACAUGCAACAAAGAGUCGCUCCAAAGUCACUAAUAGCGCAGAACGAACGAAGAGAUUAUGGUAGGGUACGAAACCACCUCAAAGUUAUUCUUUCCAAUCAAUCCGUUGGGAUAUUCCUAUAAGUGUCACAAACAGCCCUAGAGUUCGUACUAGAAUAACACCUUAAGACACACAUCAACCAAAACCCUAAUUUCACCUAGAUACUCCAAUGUCACCUCAAGUAUCCAUGGGUAUGAUUAUAUGAUAUGCAUCACACAAUCUCCGGUUCAUCUAUUCAACCAACACAUAGGACCUCAAAGAGUGCCCCAAAGUUUCUACCGGAGAAUCAUGACGAAAACGUGUGCCAACCCCUAUGCAUAGGUUCAUGGGCGGAACCCACAAGUUGAUCACCAAAACAUACAUCAAGUGAAUCACGUGAUACCCCAUUGUCACCACAGAUAUCCACGGCAAGACAUACAUCAAGUGUUCUCAAAUCAUUAAAGACUCAAUCCAAUAAGAUUACUUCAAAGGGAAACUCAAUUCAUUACAAGAGAGAAGAGGAGGAGGAGAAACAUAAGAUCCAACUAUAAUAGCAAAGCUCGCGAUACAUCAAGAUCGUGCCAAAUCAAGAACACGAGAGAGACAGAGAUCAAACACAUAGCUACUGGUACAUACCCUCAGCCCCGAGGGAGAACUACUCCCUCCUCGUCAUGAAGAGCACCGGGAUGAUGAAGAUGGCCACCGAAGAUGGAUUCCCCCUCCGGCAGGGUGCCGGAACGGGUCUAGAUUGGCUUUCGGUGGCUACGGAGGUAUCUGGCGGCGGAACUCCUGAUCUAUUAUGCUCACGGAUGUUUUUAGGGUAUAUGGAGAUAUAUAGGCGGAAGAAGUACGUCAGGGGGGCCACGAGGGGCUCACGAGGGUGGAGGGCGCGCCCAGGGGGUGGGCGCGCCCCCCUGCCUCGUGGCCUCCUUGUAGAGCCCCCGACGUGCACUCCAAGUCUUCUGGGCUUCUUUCCUUCCAAAAAUGAGUUUCGUGAAGUUUCAGGUCAAUUGGACUCCGUUUGAUUUUCCUUUUCUUCAAAACCCUAAUACUGAGUAAAACAUAAACUGGCACAGGGCUCUGGGUUAAUAGGUUAGUCCCAAAAAUGAUAUAAAAGUGUAUAAUAAAGCCCAUAAACAUUCAAAACAGUAGAUAAUAUAGCAUGGAGCAAUCAAAAAUUAUAGAUACGUUGGAGACGUGUCAUGUAGUUUGGAGAAUUCAAAUAUAUAAUAGGACUAUCAUGUGUGGGUGCAAUAGCAACAAUGUCAUUCUUAACAUAAGGAACUAUAGCAAGUUCAUAUACAUAAGCAUAAUUCAUCUUGGCAUCUUGUCCACAAGCAUAGCAAGCAUCAAGUUCACCAAAAAGGGAUAUUUCAAAAGAAUCAACGAGGUCAUAGCAAUCAUCAUAGCAUUCAUCCUUCGGUAAGAACCAAGGGGCAUUAAAUAAUGUAUGAGUUGAAGAGUUACUCUCAUUAGAAGGUGGGCACGAGUAGCUGAUCCGUUCUUCCUCCAUUUGUUCUUCGCUCUCCUCAUCAUCUUUUUCCUCCAAUGAGCUCGCAGUUUCAUCAAUUUCUUCUUCCAUAGACUCCUGCAAAAUAUUAGUCUCUUCUUGGACACUGGAGGAGUCCUCAAUAUAUGGUUUAACAUAGGCAUUAGAAGCAUAAUUAUCAUAAAAAUAUUUAAGUAUAGCAAAAUUUCCAGAUUUGUAAAGAGUAGCAUCAUACUUUUCAAUCAAAGAAGCAAUUUCAUAAGCACCCUUAAAAGCAACAAAUUCUUCAAUUUGUUUAGUAUCAAAGUAAUUAUAAACACCUUUGGCAUAAGAAUAUACAAUUCCAUUAUCAAUAAACUCACAUUGGUAGGGAAGGUGUUUCUUAGGGUCUUCAGAACAACAAGUAAAAUCAUAUAAUUCACAUAAAUUCCAAGCAUAGCAUUGCAUAGUAUUAAUUUGAUGUUGUAAAAGUUUCCCUUUUUCAGAUAAACAAUGUCGCACAAAACAAGCAUGCUCAUCUAAUGAUUUUCCCUCAACUAAGCUAGUUGGGUUUUCAGCACGAGCACAAAUGGAUCGAAGAUGAUCCAAGUAGAAAGCUUCAGUAGUAUGAUAUAUUUUGGGUGCUUCUUCAACCAUUGGUUUAGUAGGUACAACUAAUUUUUUGGUAUUUUGCGUUUCCUACCCAUAACUAAAGAUAGAAAACAAGAGCACAAAAAAAUUACUUAGUGAUAAAGCUUAGCACUAUGAUCGUUUAGUUUAUUGCUAUUGCUUUCUUCAUGACUUAUACAUGUUCCUUUGACUAUGAGAUUAUGCAACUCCCAAAUACCGGAGGAACACUUAGUGUGCUAUCAAACAUCACAACGUAACUGGGUGAUUAUAAAGAUGCUCUAUAGGUCUCUCCGAUGGUGUUUGUUGAGUUGGCAUAGAUCUAUAUUAGGAUUUGUCACUCCAUGUAUCGGAGAGGUAUCUCUGGGCCCUCUCGGUAGUGCACAUCACUAUGAGCCUUGCAAGCAAUGUGUCUAAUGAGUCAGCCACAGGAUGAUGCAUUACGGAACGAGUAAAGAGACUUGUCGAUGACGAGAUUGAACUAGGUAUGAUGAUACAGACGAUUGAAUCUCGGGCAAGUAACAUACCGAUGACAAACGGAACAAUGUAUGUUGUUAUGCGGUUUGACCGAUAAAGAUCUCCGUAGAAUAUGUAGGAACCAACAUGAGCAUCCAAGUUCCGCUAUUGGUUAUUGACCAAAGAUGUGUCUCGGUCAUGUCUACAUAGUUCUUGAACCCGUAGGGUCCGCAUGCUUAACAUUCGAUGACGAUUUGUAUUAUGAGUUAUGUGAUUUAUUGUACCGAAGGUUGUUCGGAGUCCCGGAUGAGAUCACGGACAUGACAAGGAGUCUCAAAAUGGUUGAGACAUAAAGAUUGAUAUAUUGGACCAUGUUAUUCGGACACCGGAAGUGUUCCGGAUGGUUUCGGAUAAAACCAGAGUGCUAGAGGGGUUAUCGGAACCCCCCGGGGAAGUAAUGGGCCUUAGUGGGCCUUAGGGUAGAGAGAGGGCAGCAGCCAGGAGGUGGCGCCCCCCAAGGGGUGUACGAAUAGGGCUAGGGGAGGGGGCGCGGCCCCUCUUUCCCUCUCCCUCUCCCUCUCCUUCCUUCUUCUCCUACUUGGACUAGGAAAGGGGGGACCGGUUCCUACUUCGAGGCCUCAUUUGGUUGCAAAGUGAAAAUAUUUCAGGGUAGUAAUCCCACGAGGGGGAGUUUCCAUGGUCAUAGGAAAUCCUCUCCCGCCACCGGGGGAGAUCCCCAUGUGAGUUUGGGGACAAGGGGGAGGGGAGGGAAUCACAUCAGGGAAGUGCGAAAUUUCUUGGAAAAGAAAUAUAGUAUUCAAAAACCAUGAAAACUAAUUCCCUUUUUUCUUACAGAAUCAUCAUAGUAGUACUGAAGUAAGUAAUUUUCUAAUUUCCAUGCAAAAUUUAGAAAUGACAGAACAAUGGAGAAUAAUUCUGUAAUUUCAAGGAUAAACCGGGAAAUAUGAAACACACAUAAUCAAUAAAAAACACUUCAGUUCACAUCACACACGCUGACCAUAAAUAACACAACACCGAGGAUAAAUUCCGGUGUGCUAAUCAUUGUUUAACAUUUUUUUAGACAAAAGGCAAUAGCCGAGCCCAAGAUUGGGCUCGAGCCUAGCCCGACUUUGAAUUAACAAAGCCAUCAACUGGAAGAUUACAAGCAAACGCCCUCAUGCGAAGAAAGAACAACACGGCAGUAAGAUACAUAAACGAUGGACCACACCAAACUACUAACACGCUAUGGAAACUGAAGAUAAUCAUAAGAGAACGAAGCCGAAGACACUGAGGUCCUUCUCCAAGAAUGCUGCACCAAGAACAAUAUCACACUGGCUCGGAGGAGAUAGGAGCCGACACCAGCGCGGCAUAUGUUGUCACCAUGCACCUAUGGGCCCUGGCACGACACAUCAGGUACACCAUCUUCGAAGGAGUCCACUACCUCCUUUCUUGGAUCGAAGGCGCCGCACCGUCGCAAGAUGAGAUGGAUGCCUCCGAAAGAUGGCCACAUAGAGAAGGUCAGCGCAUACCCAAAAAGAUGUCGGAGGCUCUCCUUGAGCAGAACAUCACCGCUGCACACAUCCAACACUAGAGGGGGAAGUUCCAUGUUAGGAUAAGAGGGCCACACCGUCGCCGCCGCCCACCACCCACAAGCGCCAGCCGGCCACAAGGCUCACAAAGCGGAGCCUUCAAGAAGGGAACGGCACUGAGAGCACCACGGCCGCCCAACAAAGUUAGGGCUUUCGCCCGGGAGAUCUAGGGGCAAGGGAAGUGAGGGGAUGAGUCCAUACCGACGCCUCCAAGGAGGGGAACGACACAUUUAGUUCCAUUAAAAAGAUGUACAUAUGUGACUGAUCCAUACUGAAAUGCGUUGUCACUAGAAUAAUCACUCUACUGAAACUUCCACCAUCACCUUCUUUGAACAUUUUCAUUGGUUAGCUUUACGAAACCUGUAAAUCAAAAAAGAACAAUAUAGUUACUAUACAAUAUCACAUUUUAAACUAUAUAUAAUCACAUAUGCAUGGUUCUCAAUGAAAUAGAUGCAAACAUAAUAAGCCAGACUGAUUUAUGUUCUAAUAAAUAAAAUAUUUUUCCCUUUGACUCCUAGACGACCACGGCAUGAAAGCCAUCAUUUGGCAAGAAAAGAAUGUUACACUGAAACCAGCUUGAAAAUAGUCCUCGAAGCUUUUCAAUUGUAUAAACACUAUUCCAAUUGUAUAAUAUUCAGAAUAAUAUACACUGUCAUGUCAGUUUCCUAGGAGUGGCAACAUUAAGGUCAACACCCAGAUGCAUAUAUCUAGUCAGCACAAGAUCCAUACAAUGACUAUCUAAUUAGUUUGGCUAUACAUGUGCAUUGAUGACUGUCUAAUCAGCACACAACCGGAUGUGUAUUUCCAAGAAAACUGACAUAUAUGGUAUAGGGCUAGGGCUACAGAUUAUUCAGGUGACAACCUUCAAAAAUUCUUCAUGGAUGAAAAGCCAAGAACACAACUGCUCUGGAUCUUAGUGUACAAAAUAAAAUAGAAACAUUCCUUGGAAGAUCUGGAAUGUAGCAUCAUAACAUCUAGCGGAGAGCAGGAGGAGGGGACAAACUUUGGUCGAAGGAAGAGGAAGAUGAACGUCGGGUCAUCAUGAUGAAACUUUGGUCGAAGGAAGAAAGAACACAUAAUAAAUGAAGAACACAAGAAGCGAAAGUGCAUUAGCUACUAGGCUUGGUCCCAACAAAACUAAGUAGACUAAUUUCAACUAAAACUAGCAACAAAAGAUUCAUCAUGUAAACGGUCAUCUCGCAAAAAAGGGUUAAAACUAGUCUGCCACUAGGAGGUCGAAAAGGUUCAAAACUAGUCUUGAUUACAGUAAUGAAAUAAAGUUCUGAAGCACAUAAAAAAGUAGCAGCUACACCUUUCAAUUCAAGCAACAAAUAAUUUGAAAGUUGGCUCAUGGAUUUAAAUUUCAAUGACAUAAUACAUUCAUAGUUGAUAAGAACUGAUUAAGUAUGCACUUCCAUAAAAAGCAUAUGAAACAACAGUACUACAAAUGUUUCAUAAGAAACAGUUUGUCAUCAACGAUAAGUAUUAUAUAUGAAACAAUGCAUUAUUUCAUAUGAAACGUCAGGAAACCUAGGAGAACUGGAAAAGAAACAAAAUCAAUGCAUAUGAAACAUUGAUCUGAUAUAUAUUUCAGUUCCUGAUACGUCCAUUUUGCAUCAUGCUUUUAUAUCAAUAUUUAUUACAUUAUGGGCUGUUAUUACACAUUAUGUCACAAUACUUAUGCCUAUUAUCUCUUAUUUUAAUAGGUUUACAUAAAGAGGGAGAAUGCCGGCAGCUGGGAUUCUGGGCUGGAAAAGGAGCAAAUAUUAGAGACCUAUUCUGCACAGCUCCAAAUGCCCUGAAACUUCAUGGGAGAUGUUUUCCAAAUAUAUAGAAAAUACUCAGCAGAAGAAACUCACCAGGGGGGCACACCAUGCCCACGAGGGUGGGGGGCGCGCCCUACCCCCCUGGGCGCGCCCCCCUACCUCGUGGGCCCCCUGGUGGCCCUCCGGUGGCCAUCUUCUGCUAUAUGGAGUCUUUCGAUGGGAAAAAAAUCAUAAGCCAUCUUCUCGGACGAAACUCCGCCGCCACGAGGCGGAACCUUGGCAGAACCAAUCUAGGGCUCUGGCGGAGCUGUUCUGCCGGGGAAACUUCCCUCCCGGAGGGGGAAAUCAUCGCCAUCGUCAUCACCAACGCUCCUCUCAUCGGGAGGGGGCAAUCUCCAUCAACAUCUUCAUUAGCACCAUCUCAUCUCAAAACCCUAGUUCAUCUCUUGUAUCCAAUUCUUGUCUUCAAGUCCGGGAUUGGUGCUAGUAGGUUGCUAGUAGUGUUAAUUACUCCUUGUAGUUGAUGCUAGUUGGUUUAAUUGGUGGAAGAUCAUAUGCUUAGAUCCUAUAUGCAUAUUAAUACCCCUCUGAUUAUGAACAUGUUUAUGCUUUGUGAGUAGUUAAUUUUGUUCCUGGGGACAUGGGAGAAGUCUUGCUAUUAGUAGUCAUGUGAAUUUGGUAUUCGUUCGAUAUUUUGAUGAGAUGUAUGUUGUCUCUCCUCUAGUGGUGUUAUGUGAACGUCGACUACAUGACACUUCACAAUUGUUUGGGCCUAGAGGAAGGCAUUGGGGAGUAAUAAGUAGAUGAUGGGUCGCUAGAGUGACAGAAGCUUAAAGCCUAGUUUAUGCGUUGCUUCGUAAGGGCUGAUUUGGAUCCAUAUGUUUCAUGCUAUGGUUAGGUUUACCUUAAUACUUUUGUUGUAGUUGCGGAUGCUUGCAAUAGAGGUUAAUCAUAAGUGGGACGCUUGUCCAAGUAAGGGCAGCACCCAAGCACCGGUCCACCCACAUACCAAAUUACCAAAGUACCGAACGCGAAUCAUAUGAGCGUGAUGAAAACUAGCUUGACGAUAUUCCCAUGUGUCCUCGGGAGCGCUUUACAUCAUAUAAGAGUUUGUCCAGGCUUGUCCUUUGCUACAAAAGGAUUGGGCCACCUUGCUGCACUUUAUUUACUUUUGUUACUUGUUGCUCAUUACAAAUUAUCCUAUCACAAAACUAUCUGUUACCACUUAUUUCAGUACUUGCAGAGAAUACCUUGCUGGAAACCGCUUAUCAUUUCCUUCUACUCCUCGUUGGGUUCAACACUCUGACUUAUCGAAAGGACUACGAUAGAUCCCCUAUACUUGUGGGUCAUCAAGACUCUUUUUUGGCGCCGUUGCCGGGGAGUGAAGCGCCUUUGGUAGGUGGAAUUUGGUAAGGAAAAAUGUAUAUAGUGUGCUGAAAUAUACUGUCACUUGUUACUAUGGAAAAUAAUCCUCUGAGGGGCUUGUUUGGGGUAUCUUCACCCCGACCAGUAGAGCAAAGAGUUGCUCCUCAACCUAUUGAACCUACUGAAAAUGAAUAUGAAAAUGAAAAUGCUUACUUUGAAGUUCCUGCUGGUAUGAUAGAAAAACUGCUAGCUAAUCCUUUUCUAGGAGACAGAACAAAACAUCCUGAUGAACAUCUGAUAUAUGUGGAUGAAGUUUGUGGAUUAUUUAAGCUUGCAGGUGUACCCGGAGAUGUUGUUAAGAAGAAGGACUUCCCUUUAUCUUUGAGGGGAGAUGCAUCGACAUGGUAUAGGCUAUGUGAUGAUAUGAGGUCUUGGAAUUACAAAUGAUUGAAAUUGGAAUUUCAUCAGAAGUUUUAUCCUAUGCAUCUUGUUCAUCGUGAUCGCAACUAUAUAUAUAAUUUUUGGCCUCGCGAAGGAGAAAGCAUCGCUCAAACUUGGGGGAGGCUUAAAUCAAUGUUAUAUUCAUGCCCCAAUCAUGAGCUCUCAAGAGAAAUGAUUAUUCAAAAAAUUUAUGCUCAGCUUUCUGGUAACAAUCGCACCAUGCUUGAUACUUCUUGUGGUGGCUCUUUUAUGAUGAAGACUAUUGAAUUCAAAUGGAAUUUAUUGGAAAGAAUUGAACGCAACUCUGAAGAUUGGGACCUCGACAAUGGUAAGGAGUCAGGUAUUACACCUAGUUUUGAUUGUGUUAAAUCUUUUAUGGGUACCGAUAUUUUUCGUAAAUUUAGCACUAAAUAUGGACUUGACUCUGAGAUAGUAGCUUCUUUCUGUGAAUCUUUUGCUACUUAUGUUGACCUCCCCAAGGAGAAGUGGUUUAAAUAUCAUCCUCCCAUAGAAGUAAAAGUAGCUGCACCUAUUAAAGUUGAAGAAAAGACUAUCACUUAUAAUGAUCCUAUUGUUCCUACUUCUUAUGUUGAGAAACCACCUUUCCCUGUUAGGAUAAAGGAUCAUGCUAAAGCUUCAACUUUAGUCCGUAAAAGCAAUAUUAAAACAUAUACACCUCCUGAGCAAGUUAAAGUUGAACCUAAUAUUGCUAUUGUUAAAGAUCUCUUGUCUGAUAAUAUUGAUGGGCAUGUUAUUUAUUUCUGUAACGAAACUACUAGAAUUGCUAAACCUUGUGCUAAAGAUAAACCUAGACCUGUGGUAGGCAUGUCUGUUAUUUCUGUUAAAAUAGGAGAUCAUUGUUAUCAUGGCUUAUGUGACAUGGGUGCUAGUGCUAGCGCAAUACCUCAUUCCUUAUACAAAGAAAUUAUGCAUGAGAUUGCACCUGCUGAAAUAGAAGAUAUUGAUGUCACAAUUAAACUUGCCAAUAGAGAUACUAUUUCACCAAUGGGAAUUGUUAGAGAUGUUGAAGUUUUGUGUGGGAAAACUAAAUAUCCUACUGAUUUUCUUGUUCUUGGUUCCCCACAAGAUAGCUUUUGUCCCAUUAUAUUUGGUAGACCCUUCUUGAACACUGUUAAUGCUACCAUAGAUUGCAAAAGAGAUGUUGUUACUGUCGGUUUAGAUGAUAUGACUCAUGAAUUUAAUUUCUCUAAAUUUAGUAGACAACACCAUGAAGAAGAAUUACCUAGUAAGGAUGAAAUUAUUGGUCUUGCUUCUAUUGCCGUACCUCCUAGUGAUCCUUAGAACAAUAUUUGCGAGACCAUGAAAAUGAUAUGUUUAUGAAUGAAAGAAGGGAAUUAGAUGAAGUAUUCUUUAAACAAGAACCUAUUUUGAAAAAUAAUUUACCUGUUGAAAUCCUAGGAGAUCCCCCUCCACGCAAGGGUGAUCCCGUGUUUGAGCUUAAACCGUUACCUAAUACUCUUAAAUAUGCCUAUCUUGAUGAGAAAAAGAUAUAUCCUGUUAUUAUUAGUGCUAACCUUUCAGAGCAUGAGGAAGAGAGAUUAUUGAAAACUCUGAAGAAGCACCGUGCUGCUAUUGGGUAUACUCUUGAUGAUCUUAAGGGCAUUAGUCCCACUCUAUGUCAACAUAAAAUUAAUUUGGAAGAAGAUGCUAAACCAGUUCGUGAUCAUCAAUGCCAGCUGAAUCCUAAAAUGACAGAAGUGGUAAGAAAGGAGAUACUAAAGCUCCUUGAGGCAGGUAUAAUUUAUCCCGUUGCUGAUAGUGAGUGGGUAAGUCAUGUCCAUUGUGUCCCUAAGAAGGGAGGUAUUACUGUUGUUCCUAAUGAUAAAGAUGAAUUGAUCCCUCAAAGAAUUAUUACAGGUUAUAGGAUGGUAAUUGAUUUCCGCAAAUUAAAUAAGGCAACUAAAAAGGAUCAUUACCCCUUACCUUUUAUCGAUCAAAUGCUAGAAAGAUUAUCCAAGCAUACACAUUUUUGCUUUCUAGAUGGUUAUUCUGGUUUCUCUCAAAUACCCGUGUCAGCCAAAGAUCAAUCAAAGACUAGUUUUACAUGCCCUUUUGGUACUUUUGCUUACAGACGUAUGCCUUUUGGUUUAUGUAAUGCACCUGCUACCUUUCAAAGAUGCAUGAUGGCUAUAUUCUCUGACUUUUGUGAAAAGAUUUGUGAGGUUUUCAUGGACGACUUUUCCGUCUAUGGAUCUUCUUUUGAUGAUUGCUUGAGCAACCUUGAUCGAGUUUUGCAGAGAUGCGAAUAAACUAAUCUUGUCUUGAAUUGGGAAAAGUGCCACUUUAUGGUUAAUGAAGGUAUUGUCUUGGGGCACAAAGUUUCUGAAAGAGGUAUUGAAGUUGAUAAAGCCAAGGUUGAUGCUAUUGAAAAGAUGCCAUGUCCCAAGGACAUCAAAGGUAUAAGAAGUUUCCUCGGUCAUGCCGUUUUUUAUAGGAGGUUCAUUAAGGACUUCUCAAAAAUUUCUCGGCCUCUGACUAAUUUAUUACAAAAAGAUAUACCAUUUGUCUUUGAUGAUGAUUGCGUAGAAGCAUUUGAAAUACUUAAGAAAGCAUUGAUUUCUGCACCUAUUGUUCAGCCACCUGAUUGGAAUUUACCCUUUGAAAUUAUGUGUGAUGCUAGUGAUUAUGUUGUAGGUGUUGUUCUAGGACAAAGAGUUGAUAAGAAACUAAAUGUUAUUCAAUAUGCUAGUAAAACUCUAGACAAUGCUCAAAGAAACUAUGCUACUACUGAAAAAGAAUUCUUAGCAGUUGUAUUUGCUUGUGAUAAGUUUAGACCUUAUAUUCUUGAUUCUAAAGUAACUAUCCACACUAAUCAUGCUGCUAUUAAAUAUCUUAUGGAAAAUAAAGAUGCCAAACCUAGACUUAUUAGAUGGGUUCUCUUACUACAAGAAUUUGAUUUGCAUAUUGUUGAUAGAAAAGGAGCCGAGAACCCCGUUGCAGACAACUUGUCUAGGUUAGAAAAUGUGCUUGAUGACCCACUACCUAUUGAUGAUAGCUUUCCUCAUGAGCAAUUAAGUGUCAUAAAUGCUUCUCAUACUGCUCCAUGGUAUGCUGAUUAUGCUAAUUACAUUGUUGCUAAGUUAUACCACCUAGUUUCACAUACCAGCAAAAGAAAAAGUUCUUCUAUGAUUUGAGGCAUUACUUUUGGGAUGACCCACAUCUUUAUAAAGAAGGAGUAGAUGGUGUUAUUAGACAUUGUGUACCUGAGCAUGAACAGGAACAGAUCCUACGCAAGUGUCACUCCGAAGCUUAUGGAGGACACCAUGCUGGAGAUAGAACUGCACAUAAGGUACUGCAAUCUAGGUUUUAUUGGCCUACUCUCUUCAAGGAUGCCCGUAAGUUUGUCUUAUCUUGUGAUGAAUGUCAAAGAAUUGGUAAUAUUAGUAGACGUCAAGAAAUGCCUAUGAAUUAUUCACUUGUUAUUGAACCAUUUGAUGUUUGGGGCUUUGAUUAUAUGGGACCCUUUCCUUCCUCUAAUGGAUAUACACAUAUUUUAGUUGCUAUUGAUUACGUUACUAAGUGGGUAGAAGCUAUUCCAACUAAUAGUGUUGAUCAUAACACUUCUAUUAAAAUGCUUAAAGAAGUUAUUUUUCCAAGAUUUGGAGUCCCUAGAUAUUUAAUGACUGAUGGUGGUUCACAUUUUAUUCAUGGUGCUUUCCGUAAAAUGCUUGCUAAAUAUGAUGUUAAUCAUAGAAUUGCAUCUCCUUAUCACCCUCAGUCUAGUGGUCAAGUAGAAUUGAGUAAUAGAGAACUCAAAUUAAUUUUGCAAAAGACUAUUAAUAGGUCUAGAAAGAAUUGGUCCAAGAAACUAGAUGAUGCAUUAUGGGCCUAUAGAACUGCAUAUAAAAUCCUAUGGGUAUGUCUCCGUAUAAAAUGGUCUAUGGAAAAGCAUGUCACUUACCUCUCGAACUAGACACAAGGCUUAUUGGGCUAUUAAAGAACUUAAUUAUGAUUUUAAACUUGCCGAUGAGAAGAGGUUAUUUGAUAUUAGCUCACUUGAUGAAUGGAGAACCCAAGCCUACGAAAAUGCCAAGUUGUUUAAAGAAAAAGUUAAAAGAUGGCAUGACAAAAGGAUACAAAAGCGUGAGUUUAAUGUAGGUGAUUAUGUAUUUCUAUACAACUCUCGUUUAAGUUUUUUUGCAGGAAAACUUCUCUCUAAAUGGGAAGGUCCUCACGUCAUCGAGGAGGUCUACCGUUCCGGUGCCAUAAAAAUCAACAACUUCGAAGGCACAAAUCCGAAGGUGGUGAACGGUCAAAGAAUCAAACAUUAUAUCUCAGGUAAUCCCAUAAAUGUUGAAACCAAUGUUAUUGAAACCGUAACCCGGGAGGAAUACAUAAGGGACACUUUCCGGAACGUUUCAGACUCCGAAAAGGAAUAGGUAUGUGGUACGGUAAGUAAACCGACUCCAAAACAAUUUUUAAGGCAAUAUUUCUCUGUUUUGGAAUAUUUAGAAAAAUAGAAAAAUAAGCAGACACGAGGGUGAAGGGUGCGCCCUACCCUACUGGGGGCGCCCCCUACCUCGUGGGCACCUCGUGUGCUCUCCGGACUCCAUUUUCGUACAUGACACAUAUUUUGGUCGGUAAAAAUUCAUUAUAUAAUCUCCUGGGGGUUUUGACUCCCAUAUCACGCAAAUAUCUCUUGUCUUUGUUUUGAGUUGUCCUUCUGCAGAUAGAGCAACAUGUCGUCCUAGGAUUCGGAAGGAGAAAGCUACGUGGCUGAUUACCUUGCAGAUCCUAAGGUCUAUGGGGAUGUGGAGCAUUGCAGUUGGACUACGGAAGAAGAAGAGGACUAUGAACCCAAGGGAAAGGGGGAGACGAGCUCAGAUGAAGACGAAGUCCCACUACCUCAACCUGGGGACAUGCAUGUGGAGUUCAAAAAGUCAGGCCUCCCAGAUAGGGUAAAGAAACCUAAGAUCGAGUUUAUCCCUUUUCGCCUCUUGCAGGAAAACAAGAAGGAACUAUGCAAAAAGAUACUGAGCUUGGAGCAGGAGAUCGAGGACCUAAGGGACCAAAAUUCUGUCCUCAAGCACAAAUUAAGGAAGAAGCCUACGCCAUCAACAAAAUCACCACCGUCUCCAUCAACAAAGAAGAAUUGAGUAUCUGGUAUGGGCACUCCACUUGGCAACUGCCAAGCUUGGGGGAGUGCCCCAGUAUCGUAUCACCAUCACUUUUAUCUUUACCGUUUUUCUUAGUUUGAUCCUUUUGGUAAUAUCUUGAUCUAGUAGAAUAAAAGUUCUUAGUAUGAUCUAGUUGUGAGUUUUGCUUUAUUAUCCUUCUAUGUAAUCGAGUCCGUGAGCUAUAUAAUAAAGAUUAGUGUUGAGUCAAGGGCUUGAUUAUUUUGCCAUGAUCCUAAGGGAAUAAAAGAAAAGAGAAAGAGAUAAAAAGAAACAAAGAGAUCAUGUGAGUCUUAUGGAGAGUAAUGAGCUCACAUAGAAAGAGUAUGAUGAAUAAAAGUUGUUGAGGAUUGACAAACACAGUUUUGCUCAUCGUUGCAAUUAAUAGGAAGUAAUAAAGAAAGAGAGGUCUUCACAUAUAAAUAUACUAUCUUGGACAUCUUUUAUGAUUGUGAGCACUCAUUAAAAUAUGACAUGCUAAAGAGUUGACAUUGGACAAGGAAGACAAUGUAAUGGAUUAUGAUUUCUUACAUCUGAGAUAAAUUAUAUUGUCUUGGAUCUUCCAACAUGAUGAGCUUGCCUUUCCCCCUCAUGCUAGGCAAAUUCAUUGCACCAAGUAGAGAUACUACUUGUGCUUCCAAAUACCCUUAAACCAGUUUUGUCAUGAGAGUCCACUAUACCUACCUAUGGAUUGAGUAAGAUCCUCUAAGUAAGUUGUCAUCGGUGCAAGCAAUAAAAAUUGCUCUCUAAAUAUGUAUGACUUAUUAGUGUGGGAGAAAAUAAUCUUUAUACGAUCGUGUGAUAUGGAAGAAAUAAAAGCGAUAGACUGCAUAAUAAAGGUCCAUAUCACAAGUGGAAAUAUAAAGUGACAUUCUUUCGCAUUAAGAUUUUGUGCAUCCAACCAUAAAAGCACAUGACAACCUCUGCUUCCCUCUGUGAAGGGCCUAUCUUUUACUUUUAUCUCCUACCUUGCAUAAGAGUCAUGGUGAUCCCACCCUUCCUUUUUACAUUUUAACCUUUGGCAAGAACAAUAUGUUGGAAAGAUCCUGGUAUAUAUGGCUAAUUGGAUGUGAGUUUUCAUGAACUAUUACUGUUGACAUUACCCUUGAGGUAAAACGUUGGGAGGCAAAACUAUAAGCCCCUAUCUUUCUCUGUGUCCGAUUAAAACUCCAUACCCAUAAGUAUUGCGUGAGUGUCAGCAAUUGUAAAAGAUUAUAUGAUAGUUGAGUAUGUGGAAUUGCUGAAAAGCUCUUAUACAUUGACUCUUUCCUAUGUUAUGAUAAAUUGCAAUUGCUUCAAUGAUUGAGAUGGUAGUUUGUUAGUUUUCAAAGAAGUUUACGAUUCAUACUUGAUAUUGUGAUUGAAUUAUUACUCUAGCAUAAGAGAUUAUAUGACAAGAAUUAUAUAAGUUGUUGUUCUAAGAAUGAUCAUGAUGCCCUCAUGUCCGUAUUUUAUUUUUAUCGACACCUCUAUCUCUAAACAUGUGGACAUAUUUUUCGAUUUCGGCUUUUCGCUUGAGGACAAGCGAGGUCUAAGCUUGGGGGAGUUGAUACGUCCAUUUUGCAUCAUGCUUUUAUAUCAAUAUUUAUUGCAUUAUGGGCUGUUAUUACACAUUAUGUCACAAUACUUAUGCCUAUUCUCUCUUAUUUUACAAGGUUUACAUAAAGAGGGAGAAUGCCGGCAGCUGGGAUUCUGGGAUGGAAAAGGAGCAAAUAUUAGAGACCUAUUCUGCACAGCUCCAAAAGUCCUAAAACUUCACGGGAGAUGUUUUCCAACUAUAUAAAAAAUACUCAGCGGAAGAAACUCACCAGGGGGGCACACCAUGCCCACGAGGGUCGGGGCGCGCCCUACCCCCUGGGCGCGCCCCCUACCUCGUGUGCCCCCUGGUGGCCCUCCGGUGGCCAUCUUCUGCUAUAUGGAGUCUUUUGAUGGAAAAAAAAUCAUAAGCCAUCUUCUCGGACGAAACUCCGCCGCCACGAGACGGAACCUUGGCGGAACCAAUCUAGGGCUCUGGCGGAGCUGUUCUGUCGAGGAAACUUCCCUCCCGGAGGGGGAAAUCAUCGCCAUCAUCAUCACCAACGCUCCUCUCACCGGGAGGGGGCAAUCUCCAUCAACAUCUUCAUUAGCACCAUCUCAUCUCAAAACCCUAGUUCAUCUCUUGUAUCCAAUUCUUGUCUUCAAGUCCGGGAUUGGUGCUAGUAGGUUGCUAGUAGUGUUAAUUACUCCUUGUAGUUGAUGCUAGUUGGUUUAAUUGGUGGAAGAUCAUAUGUUCAGAUCCUAUAUGCAUAUUAAUACCCCUCUGAUUAUGAACAUGUUUAUGCUUUGUGAGUAGUUACUUUUGUUCCUGGGGACAUGGGAGAAGUCUUGCUAUUAGUAGUCAUGUGAAUUUGGUAUUCGUUCGAUAUUUUGAUGAGAUGUAUGUUGUCUCUCCUCUAGUGGUGUUAUGUGAACGUCGACUACAUGACACUUCACCAUUGUUUGGGCCUAGAGGAAGGCAUUGGGGAGUAAUAAGUAGAUGAUGGGUUGCUAGAGUGACAGAAGCUUAAACCCUAGUUUAUGCGUUGCUUCGUAAGGGCUGAUUUGGAUCCAUAUGUUUCAUGCUAUGGUUAGGUUUACCUUAAUACUUUUGUUGUAGUUGCGGAUGCUUGCAAUAGAGGUUAAUCAUAAGUGGGAUGCUUGUCCAAGUAAGGGCAGCACCCAAGCACUGGUCCACCCACAUACCAAAUUAUCAAAGUACCGAACGCGAAUCAUAUGAGCGUGAUGAAAACUAGCUUAACGAUAUUCCCAUGUGUCCUCGGGUGCUUUACAUCAUAUAAGAGUUUGUCGAGGCUUGUCCUUUGCUACAAAAGGAUUGGGCCACCUUGCUGCACUUUAUUUACUUUUGUUACUUGUUGCUCGUUACAAAUUAUCCUAUCACAAAACUAUCUGUUACCACUUAUUUCAGUACUUGCAGAGAAUACCUUGCUGGAAACCGCUUAUCAUUUCCUUCUGCUCCUCGUUGGGUUCGACACUCUUACUUAUCGAAAGGACUAUGAUAGAUCCCCUAUACUUAGUUCCCUACACACUACGGAAGAACUACUAUUGACCAAUGCAUAUGAAACUUGUGUAAAGCAACAUCAGUAUAAAAAUAUAACAAUCAUUUUCUGUUUCUUCUAAACUACUAAUCAAUAUGUACGUGCAAUGCACAUUAAUUUGGAAGUAUAUUAAGUGCAUGCGAAUAUUAAGUAGGAUAUUAUUUGCAUGUUAUUAUGUGAUUGGCAUUAUUUUUGGCAUGAAAUUAACUACACGCUAAAUGUGUUGAGCGCUCGACAUUGAAGCAGUCUAGGUCGUUGGAUUGACAUGAUUUGAUGGCCAAGAUUAAUUGGAUCUACCCAUUUGGGUCUUUUUAUAUUGGUAUAGAUAUAGACUAAGCAUUGCUUACAUUUCUUUCAUUUUCUAAUAACCAACACUGACGUAUCAAUCCUUCCUUCUUCUGGACAAGUGGUUUGUACAAGCAAAUAAAACAUUCCUGGAUCUAGCAUUGUGUAGUUCUUCUGGACAGCCACUAAAACAUCAGCAACCAAAUAUUGUGUAGUGAUCUAAGUGCUCACCGGUGAUUGGCAAUGGUGGGAAUGAUAUGAAAGAACAUUGCGGUGCUCACUUCCUGGAUAUGGAUGUUCAAGUUCAUCAGUGACGGUGAAGGCAUGAAUUCAAGAAAGAUAGAGGUUGUAGAGGGGGGAGAAGGAGGAGGGGGCUAACCUUGACCGAAGGAGGUAGAAAAUGACCACAGAACCAUCGUCAUCAUGGUCGCCAAAGGGGGUCGGAGGGGAGAUCCGAGGAAGGAGGACGGUGAUGGCCGCGGUUAGUCGCCGUUGCUGCAGGGGAGGACGUUGGAUCCUGAACACCGGAGGGAGGGAUCGGGGGAGUCGCUUCUGUCGUUGGCGGAAGGAGCUCGAAGGCGGAGGAGGCGGCGGCGGCGGAUCUUGGUCGACGGCGCAUUGUAUGCUCGUCUACCACUGGAGCCGUGGCUUUCCUCCCUGACCUGUCGGGUCGUGGCUUUCCUUCCCGUGGUAAGGUCGUGGGUCGGACAGGGUUAACCGUCGAAGGAUGCGGUCCAAAUGGCCAUCUCGAUUUCCCUGGGCCAACUCGGCCCGUGGUUCUCUGACCCGGGGAAACAGCGGGAUCCCCCCGGGAUACCUUGCAACCAAACGAGGCCGGAGUAGGAUUCCCCCCCCCCUUGGGCGCGCCCCUUGUGGCCGGCCGGCCUCCUCCUCCCCUGCUUUAUAUAUGGGGGAGGGGGGCACCCCAUAGACACACAAGUUGAUCUUUAGCCGUGUGCGGUGCCCCCUCCCCAGUUUUACACAUCGGUCAUAUUGUCGUAGUGCUUAGGCGAAGCCCUACGUGGGUAACUUCAUCAUCACCGUCGACACACCAUCGUGCUGACGAAACUCACCCUCGGCCUCAGCUAGAUCAAGAGUACAAGGGAUGUCACCGAGCUGAACGUGUGCAGAUCAUGGAGGUGUCGUGCAUUUGGUAAUUGAUCGGUUGGAUCAUGAAGACGUUCGACUACAUCAAUCGCGUUACUAAACGCUUCCACUUUCGGUCUACAAGGGUACAUAGACACACUCUCCCCUCUCUUUGCUAUGCAUCUCCUAGAUAGAUCUUCCGUGAUCGUAGGAAUUUUUUUGAAAUACUACGUUCCCCAAUAGUGGCAUCCGAGCCAGGUCUAUGCGUAGAUGUUAUAUGCAUGAGUAGAACACAAAGAGUUGUGGGCGGUGAUAGUCAUACUUCUUACUAGCAUGUUAUACUUCAGUUCGGCGGUAUUGUUGGAUGAAGCGGCCCAGGCCGACAUUACAUGACCGCGUUCAUGAGACUGGUUCUACCGAUGUGCUUUGCACACAGGUGGCUAGUGGGUGUCUGUUUCUCCUACUUUAGUUGAAUCAAGUGUGACUACGCUCGGUCCUUGUUGAAGGUUAAAACAUCACACUUGACAAAAAAUCAUUGUGGUUUUUGAUGUGUAGGUAAGAACGGUUCUUGCUAAGCCCGUAGCAGCCACGUAAAACUUGCAACAACAAAGUAGAGGACGUCUAACUUGUUUUUGCAGGGCAUGUUGUGAUGUGAUAUGGUCAAGACAUGAUUAUAUAAAUUGUUUUAUGAGAUGAUCAUGUUUUGUAAUAAAGUUAUCGACAACUGGCAGGAGCCAUAUGGUUGUCGCUUUAUUGUAUGAAAUGCAAUCGUCAUGUAAUUGCUUUACUUUAUCACUAAGCGGUAGCGAUAGUCAUGGAAGCAAUAGUUGGCGAGACGACAAGGAUGCUACGAUGGAGAUCAAGGUGUCAAGCCGGUGACGAUGGUGAUCAUGACGGAGCUUUGGAGAUGGAGAUCAAAGGCACAAGAUGAUGAUGGCCAUAUCAUAUCACUUAUAUUGAUUGUAUGUGAUGUUUAUCUUUUAUGCAUCUUAUUUUGCUUAGUACGGAGGUAGCAUUAUAAGAUGAUCUCUCACUAAAUUUCAAGGUAUAAGUGUUCUCCCUGAGUAUGCACCGUUGCUACAGUUCGUCGUGCCGAGACACCAUGUGAUGAUCUGGUGUGAUAAGCUCUAUGUUCACAUACAGCAGGUGCAAGCCAGUUUUGCACAAGCAGAAUACUCAGGUUAAACUUGAUGAGCCUAGCAUAUGCAGAUAUGGCCUCGGAACACUGAGACCGAAAGGUCGAGUGUGAAUCAUAUAGUAGAUAUGAUCAACAUAGUGAUGUUCGCCAUUGAAAACUUCUCCAUCUCAUGUGAUGAUCGGACAUGGUUUAGUUGAUAUGGAUCACAUGAUCAUUUAGAUGACUAGAGGGAUGUCUAUCUAUGUGGGAGUUCUUAAGUAAUAUGAUUAAUUGAACUUUAAUUUAUCAUGAACUUAGUACCUGAUAGUAUUUUUGCAUGUCUACGUUGUUGUAGAUAAAUGGCCUGUGCUACUGUCCCUUUGAAUUUUAAUGCGUUCCUAGAGAAAGCUAAGUUGACAGAUGAUGGUAGCAACUACACAGACUGGGUCCGUAACUUGAGGAUUAUCCUCAUUGCUGCAUAGAAGAAUUACGUCCUGGAAGCACCGCUAGGUGCAAAGCCCGCUGCAGGAGCAACACCAGAUGUUAUGAACGUCUGGCAGAGCAAAGCUGAUGACUACUCGAUAGUUCAGUGUGCCAUGCUUUACGGCUUAGAACCGAGACUUCAAUGACGUUUUGAACGUCAUGGAGCAUAUGAGAUGUUCCAGGAGUUGAAGUUAAUAUUUCAAGCAAAUGCCCGAAUUGAGAGAUAUGAAGUCUCCAAUAAGUUCUAUAGCUGCAAGAUGGAGGAGAAUAGUUCUGUCAGUGAACAUAUACUCAUAAUGUCUGGGUACCACAACCACUUGACUCAACUGGGAGUUAAUCUUCCUGAUGAUAGUGUCAUUGACAGAGUUCUUCAAUCACUGCCACCAAGCUACAAAAGCUUCGUGAUGAACUAUAAUAUGCAAGGGAUGGAUAAGACAAUUGCCGAGCUCUUCGCAAUGCUAAAAGCUGCGAAGGUAGAAAUCAAGACGGAGCAUCAAGUGUUGAUGGUCAACAAGACCACUAGUUUCAAGAAGAAGGGCAAAGAGAAGAAGGGGAACUUCAAGAAGAACGGCAAACAAGUUGCUGCUUAAGUGAAGAAACCCAAGUCUGGACCUAAGCCUGAGACUGAGUGCUUCUACUGCAAAGGGACUAGUCACUGGAAGCGGAACUGCCCCAAGUAUUUGGCGGAUAAGAAGGAUGGCAAAGUGAAAGGUAUAUUUGUUAUACAUGUUAUUAAUGUGUACCUUACUAAUUCUCGCAGUAGCGCCUGGGUAUUUGAUACUGGUUCUGUUUCUCAUAUUUGCAACUCGAAACAAGGGCUAUGGAUUAAGUGAAGAUUGGCUAAGGACGAGGUGACGAUGCGCGUGGGAAAUGGUUCUAAAGUCGAUGUGAUCACGGUUGACAUGCUACCUCUACAUCUACCUUCGGGAUUAGUAUUAGACCUGAAUAAUUGUUAUUUGGUGCCAGCGUUGAGCAUGAACAUUAUAUCUGGAUCUUGUUUGAUGCGAGACGGUUAUUCAUUUAAAUCAGAGAAUAAUGGUUGUUCUAUUUAUAUGAGUAAUAUCUUUUAUGGUCAUGCACCCUUGAUGAGUGGUCUAUUUUUAUUAAAUCUCAGUAAUAGUGAUACACAUAUUCAUAGUAUUGAAGCCAAAAGAUAUAAGUUUAAUAAUGAUAGUGCAACUUAUUUGUGGCACUGCCGUUUAGGUCAUAUUGGUGUAAAGCACAUGAAGAAACUCCAUGCUGAUGGGCUUUCAGAAUCACUUGAUUAUGAAUCACUUGAUGCUUGCGAACCAUGCCUCAUGGGCAAGAUGACUAAGACUCCGUUCUCCGGAACAAUGGAACAAGCAACAGACUUAUUGGAAAUAAUACAUACUGAUGUAUGCGGUCCGAUGAGUGUUGAUGCUCGAGGCGGGUAUCGUUAUUUUCAGACCUUCACAGAUGAUUUGAGUAGACUAGUCGUCAACCCGUGCAUUCGCACGGGCUAGUUUAGUAAUCUGCAAUAGGUUUAGUUUUGAGACUACAUUUCAUUUACCGGGAUUAAUUAAAUAAGGAAUUCUCAAAUUUCUAUUGGAACAGUUCCAUCUUGUCCUAUGACCAUACAUGUUCAACAGUCAAAUCUUAUGGUAGUUAAAAUUUUAUACUUAAAAUAACAGAAUAUGAAAUGACUCGCAUAUACUCAAAUGUUCUCCAUCUAGAUAAAAAUAAUCCAAUUAUUUAACAACCUCUAAAUCUUGGUAUAUGAUCCCUUCAACACAUUGAAAUUAAAUUUUGUUGAUUGUUCAUUCACUUGGCACCUAUUCCGGCCAGUCUCUAGACUACUUAGGGAGUUUACUUUAUAUAUAAGAUGAAAGAGCCUCACAAAAUCAACAACACAGACAAUUAGACCUUUUUAAACAGAAAAGGAAUAGAUGUACGCAUCAGCGACAAUUUUUUAGUACUUCUUUUCUUCUUUGAAACUUUUUUCAUUAGAAGACAAAAGCCUAGUCCAUACCUGAUAAAAUAAAAUCAUGGAUAGAGAAAAUGGUCAUUCCGUUGAGCUUGUGUACAUGUUGAGAUGGUUGCACUUCGGUGCAUCUGCUUUGCUUCGAUCACAUCAAAAUGUAUUUAUCUAAACAUGUUCACUUUCAUUAUAUUAGUCAUUUCCUAAAAAUAAAUGCUAAUAUAAUAACAUAUAGACAAAAGUAAACUGUUCCGGUCUCUAUUUAGAAUUCACACGAAAUUUGUCUAAUAAGGUAUAUACAAAAACCUUACUAAAAUAAUUUUGUAUAUAAUGAGACCAAAAUAAAACGUAAAUCCAUAUAUAGCGAAAUACUGAUACAAUAUUUACCUGAAAUCUUAGUUAUAUAUUCAAACAAACCAAUGCACAUACCUCGUAUCCAUUAUCUGCACCCUAUAUAUGUCGUUCCAACAAAUUAAUAUGCAUGUUAUUCCUAACGUGGUAGUUUGCUGAGUUCUCUUUUUUCGAAACUCAGCAAUGGUUGUUUAAAAUGUUUGUCGAGUGCCCAAUAAUAAGAACUUAGAAAAGUUCAAGAUUUCUCACGUCCGUCCAACCAAGUGUCGUUUGCUGAGAACAAAACUGGGCAAACACAAUGCCAAGUUGAGGCUUUGCCGAGUAUGCUGCAAACUUGGCGAAUUCGGCGAUUCCAGUAGUGACAUGACAUUAAUAAUAAAGUUUAUCAAGUUCACGUUCCAAAAAAUGAACAGUGUAAAAGAAAGUAACUAUCUUUCCUGAACGAAGACUAUUCUUGGGUGCAUGCUUAGUUUUGUUGCUUGUAUGUAAGAUUGACCUUUAUAACAUGUCACCCUGGAAUUCGGUUGCAUUUAGUUGGGGUACGGGAGGUGUAUUGGGUUCGACUACCAUGGAGGUAUUUCAUACGUUUACAUAGGUAUGGGUUACUGGACAAAUAAUCUGAUCAUAUAUAUGUAGCAAAAUAAGAAACAAAACAUGUUUAACAUAUCUGUCUACUCUCAAAAACCAAACACAUAUUUAUCAUAUUUUUACCCUAGAUUAACUUACAAAAAUUAUAGUGCAUGGACUGAUAUCAAUUUCAAUUGUUACUUAUUAGCAAUACAAAGUUAAGUACCCUAACAGUCAGAAAACCAAUUCGAGAGAAGAUAGGCAACUCUUACCUCCGAUGCAUUAGGCAGUGCAAAGUUUGGCAAGAUGGUGACCUGAUGAGAUAUAUGAUUCAUGCAUGGCCUAUUUUGCAUGGCGGGGUUGCCAUAGUUCUGCUCUAAUUCAGUCUCACGCAUUCACAAAGGUUAAUUAGGAUCCCUCCAAUUUUGUGAUCUGGUGGCUUUUGUGGAUAAGGUCAAAAAUUCUUCCUGCAUGAAAAAUCUAUUGCAUGGAAUAUGAGCAUUUUCUACCUUGCUGAUAAUAACCCCUGUGCCCAACAACGAUGCUAGCCUGCGAAAUAAUUCACUGGUCGUCCUGGAAAUUGAGAACAUUAAUCGCAUAUUAUGCUUGGAAACUGAAUAAAAGAUUAAUCGGUUGGAAUUCUUAUAAAACCCAUUAAAUCAGGCCCAACAUAGAACGUGAGAAACUAAAUGCACAUAUAGGAUAGAACCUCAGAAGCACAGUCCAAGUAUAAGACGUUACAAAAAACAAACUGGACUGCAAGAUAACUUCUUUUUUACUCAUACCAUGGGCAUCGGUAGUCCCUCGAUGGACAACUUCAUGGGCUCGAUUGAAUAGUUGUGCAUUGAUACGUCCAUACAAUCAAGGGAGACAUUGAUCUUAUUAAUAGAAUUGGCUGACAGUACGUCUCAAAGAUGAGGAAUAGGGGGGUAUCAAUGCAGUUUUGAUGGUAGAAGAAAAUGUGACAUGAUAAUUAGGGUAUAAAAUAUGAAAAAUUAAAAGACAACAAAAGAGAGACAAAAUCAGUGAUAAAAAUAUGAAACUUGUUUUGUUAAGUGAAUCCUCAUGCUCCAAAUAACAAUAAAUCACAUAGCUUGACUGAUUUGAGAGGGUAUAAUUAUAUAUGUAUACUUUUCAGCCAUCACAGACUAACACCUAGGGCCUACUAACACCUGUAAGUUGUUUGUCUUGCCUAGUUAAUUACUUAAUGAACCACGAUCUUUCUUAGAUGAACGCUACCUACAGACAAACAGCUUGUAGAGGUGCAUGUUAAAAAGACACUGUAAGUAAAUAAGAAAAUAUUAUACUACCUCAGAUCAAAAGUUUCUUCACACGCUUAAUCCAUCACCAGACCAGUUGCUUAAUGGUGAGCUUAUCACCGCAUCCUCGGCCUCGACGGGCUGCAGCAAAGAAGAGCUUCCCAUAUGCACCCUGGAUGGAUAGGCUAAACAAUGUUAGAACUGACAUACUGCAGACAAACAACAUUAUAUUUACCUAAUCAAAAGAUUGGGUUGGGUGAUGUUUAAAAGAUCACUGUAUAGUGGAUGGUCCUGCAUUGCACUUCAUCGACCAAUUUUGUAUAACCUGUGGAGGCACCCAAUUAUAUAAUCAGUAGAUGACGUUCAUCACCUGCAUUGAAAUCUCGCUUUUCUCAAAAUUGUCACUGGAUCUAACUCACUGCAUUAUCUUCGUCAUCUGCAACACACACACACACAUAUACAUACACAUAGAGAGAGAGAGAGGCUAACCACACCAGGAGAAAGUGGCCAAGGCCUAUCCGCAACGCCCAAUUAUGUAUAACAUGUGAGGCAGCCAAUUUGAUGAUGUUCAUCACCUACAUGCAAAUCUUGCUUUUCUCAUAUUUGCCGCUGGAUCUAACUUGAUGUGUUCUCUUCAUCAUCUGCAACAAACACAAAGAGAGAGAGGCUAAUGACACCAGGAGGAAGAGGCCAAGGCCUAUCCGCCAUGAAUUGGUGGAAUUAGAUUUAGUCUGGAGAUGUGAUUUGCUGUUGGAUCUAACACGCCGCCAAUGAAACGAAAGGCAUGAGAAAGACAAUUGCGGAAGAGAGAGAGAGAGAGAGAGAGAGAGAGAGAGAGAUGCCUGCGGGGAGGAGAACGCACUGAGGUUAGGCGAUGGAGACCACGACCAGGACCAUAGCCAGAUUGCGGCACGAGGCGACGGCAUAUGGAAGGGGCGAUGGAGACCUCGACCAAGAGCUCUCGAUCAUGGUUUAGGCUAAGACAAAUCGUGGAGGCUAGGGAAAGUAGAUCGGGACUCUUAUUUAGUUUUGGAAGAGGCCGUGGAGUAUGUUAAGUUUUUUUUCGGUGGAAGGACGUGAGGCUUUUUUGGGUACAAUUGAGAUUAGAUUUUUUUUGCUGGAAGGACGUGAGGCUUUUUUGGGUACAAUUGAGAUUAGAUUUUUUUUCUUUUUUUGGUGGAAGGACGUGAUUUUUUUUGAGGAUUACGUGAAGCUUUUAGGUACAGUUGAGAUUGGAUUUUUGUUCUUUAGUUUGGACGUGAAGUUUAGGUACAAUUGAUAUUGGAUUUUUUUUCUUUAGAGAAAAUGUCUUUUUCUGACUGAGGAUUUUAUGAUCGGAUCUACACCGUUAUAAUUCGGUCCCACCAGAUGAAUGGCUCGUAAAAUCUAAUUAACAUGGUAAUUUUGUGGGAGUCUGUAAUUAGUAUAGGUAUAGAUAGAUAGAUAUGGGUAUAUCUACUUGAUGAAACAUAAGUCUGAAACAUUUGAAAAGUUCAAAGAAUUUCAGAGUGAAGUAGAAAAUCAUAGUAACAAGAAAAUUAAGUUUCUACGAUCUGAUCAUGGAGGUGAAAUUUUGAGUUAUGAGUUUUGUCUUCAUUUGAAACAAUGCGGAAUAGUUUCGCAACUCACGCCACCUAGAACACCACAGCGUAAUGGUGUGUCCGAACGUCGUAACUGCAUUUUAUUAGAUAUGGUGCGAUCUAUGAUGUCUCUUACUGAUUUACCGCUAUUGUUUUGGGGUUAUACUUUAGAUACGGCUGCAUUCAUGUUAAAUAGGGCACCAUCGAAAUCCAUUGAGACGACACCAUAUGAACUGUGGUUUGGCAAGAAACCCAAGUUGUCGUUUCUUAAAGUUUGGGGCUGCGAUGCUUAUGUGAAAAAGCUUCAACCUGAUAAGCUCGAACCCAAAUCAGAGAAAUGUGUCUUCAUAGGAUACCCAAAGGAAACUGUUGGGUACACCUUCUGUCGGUGUCAAAACUGGCGGAUCUCGGGUAGGGGGUCCCGAACUAUGCGUCUAGGCCGGAUGGUAACAGGAGACAAGGGACACAAAGUUUUACCCAGGUUCGGGCCCUCUCGAUGGAGGUAAAACCCUACGUCCUGUUUGAUUAAUAUUGAUGAUAUGGGUAGUGUCGGUGUCAAAACCGGCGGAUCUCGGGUAGGGGGUCCCGAACUGUGCGUCUAGGCCGGAUGGUAACAGGAGGCAGGGGACACGAAGUUUUACCCAGGUUCGGGCCCUCUAGAUGGAGGUAAAACCCUACAUCCUGCUUGAUUAAUAUUGAUGGUAUGGGUAUUAUAAGAGUUGAUCUACCACGAGAUCAGAGAGGCUAAACCCUAGAAGCUAGCCUAUGGUAUGAUUGUUGAUGUGUAUGUUGUCCUACGGACUAAAACCCUCCGGUUUAUAUAGACACCGGAGAGGGUUAGGGUUACAUAGAGUCGGUUACAAUGGUAGGAGAUCUGAUCAUCCGUAUCUUCAAGCUUGCCUUCCACGCCAAGGAAAGUCCCUUCCGUAUGCCGGACGGAGUCUUCAAUCUAUCCGAACACCCCCUAAUCCAGGACUCCCUCAGUAGCCCCUGAACCAGGCUUCAAUGACGACGGGUCCGGUGCGCAAAUUGUCUUCGGCAUUGCAAGGCAGGUUCCUCCUCCAAGUACUUCAUAGAAGAUGUUGAACACAAAGAUAGUGUCCGGCUCUGUAAAAUAAGUUUCCACAUAUUGCCAUAGAGAGAAUAAUAAUAUUACCACAAAUCUAAUCUGUUGACGUAUUCCAUGGUGCGACACGCCACGGCCAAGCCUUUAUCUGAGUCAUUCAAUUACCCACCUCAGCGUGUCAUGCGAGGUGGUUUCCUUGGCAAUCUUGUUAAAGCAGAGAUCGUGUCCCCUUAUUACAGGAUUCUCAUCAACACGGGCGUGGGUAACCCAACCGCUUCUAGGACUCCUAGAUCAUAGGCAAGUCCAAACGGACUCGGUGAGGACGCUUGAUAUCCACCCUUCUUUAUAAAGGGGCAAAGCUUCUACUUUUCCCUCCCGUGCUCAAUCGAAUCCUUCCCCUACCUCAAGCUCAAACGCCCGAAGCUCAGGUCAGGUGCUCCGAACCUUCAGUCAUGUCCGGAUCCAGCCUUCAAGGCCGAUGGAUGCCCUCCUCCGUCUCGGAAGAGGACAUCAAAAAGUUGAGAGAGGCCAGGUAUCUGACCGCCGAAAUAUCGCAUUGGCUGCCUCCCCGGGGGCAGGCCGUCCCCUCUCCCAAACCCAACGAGUGCGUCGUGUUCGUCCCCCACUUCCUCCGAGGUCUAGGUUUUGCACUGGAUCCUUUCGUCAGGGGCUUGAUGUUUUAUUACGGGCUAGACUUCCAUGAUCUAGCUCCGGACUCCUUCCUGCAUAUCACGACUUUUGUUGUCGUAUGCGAGGCCUUCCUCCGGGUUACCCCCCACUUUGGUUUAUGGUCAAGACCUUUGAAGUAAAGCCGAAGAUGAUCGAGGGGCAACAUGCAGAGUGUGGAGGCGCCUCAAUACGCAAUAUGGUAGGAGCUCCGUGGCCCAAAGGUUCCAUCCCAGAGGUGUCUGCAUUGUGGCAACAGGAGUGGUUCUACAUCACGACUCCUAGAAGCGCCAAGUGGGCGGCCGCCCCCGUUUUUCGCUCGGGCCCUCCACCACGACUGAUGUCAUGGAUUAGUAGAGGACUGAGCUGGGGUCCAGCCAAGGACGUGCCCUUAUUACAAAGCCGCAUUCGAGAUCUCUUCGACGAAGAUCUCAGUUUGGUCGCAGUAAUACAAGUUAUGCUGGUCCGUCAAGUCCAGCCUUGCAAACGUCGGCCCCUUCGCUUGUGGGAGUUCAAUCCCGAGGGUCCGCGUGCCAUUCAAAAUUUUCUCAGCCUGACGCACGAGGAUAUGUAUAAGUUAUUCUUCGGACCUCAAGUAGAGUGUCCGGAAUUCACCGAGGACGUGGGCCUGAAUAGUAACCGCGCCGCCGAACAGGUAAGGAAUCUUCUGGCCGAACAUAUUAUCUCUCCUUCGUUACGAAGUUAUUUAUGAGAGUUUGCUUUUUCGACCAGGACUGGCUAGCAAAGGCGAAGUUGAUUCGGUGUUCGCCCCCCCCCCCUUCCUGAGGGUUUGGAGAAUCCGGUAUUGGAAAAGAUGCUCCAGGCCGCACCUUUCCCGGAUCCCUUGAAGGAAGACACUUGGAGGAUAAUACGGGCGGAUGCGGGCCCCCAACGCUGCCUAUUCUAACCGAGGGAGCGAGCGUCUCCAUGAAGGAAGACGACCGGAAGAGGAAAAGGAUCGCACCCGGGAAUUCGGAAGCCGAAGCUUCCAAACGGGAGAAGAAAUCUUCCGCCGGGGGCCCUACCUUGGGGGCCGCUGCUUCCGCACAAAGUCCGCGGGGGGAUCAAUUCUCCUGGGAGUCGUAAGUGACCCGAAAACUUUAAUAGUACAGAUAUGCCAUCCCUUUCUUCUGAGAAAAUAACCACAGCAUACAUUUGUGCAGUUCGGGCCUUAGCCCCUCUCAAAUGAGCUCGUCUUCAGGGGAUCUUCUUCCAGAGAUGAUGGAGAGCGAGACUCCUCCGCUCCGGAAGCGGGCGACCCUGAAGUGUCGUCGCGGACGGCCUCUCCGAGUUCGGAGAGGCCAGAAGGUGAUCCUAUUGAUCCCCGAGGCUCCCCGUGUUCGGCUCCCGAAGAGAGUGGACAAAAGAGUCCGGCGCCGUCUAGUGUGCGAUCGGACGUUCUGAGGGGGUUGGUGGGGCGAGCGGCCAUCUUAGACGAUCACCGUGUGCUGAUGAAUAUGGUGAUGGAGAGGAUAUCGUCCGCCGAAAGCGGAUUGCAUGAAGCUUUUAUGAGUCUACUGACAGGCUUUGAGGUACGUAAAAAAGGAAUGUGUAAUAGUCCUGCACAUGCUAGGUGUGCCCUAUGUAUAUAGUAGCCCCUGAGAUUCUGGUUGUCGUCGGAAACAAUGACGAACGGAGGAUCAUAUUCCCAGGUAAUAACCAUACUGCCUUGCCUUUAUGUGCAGGAGAUGGAAGCUCCGGUGGCCAGCCGGACGAGCCAGUUUGCCCAUUUAGAACGGCGGUUGGAUGCGGCAAAUGCUGACAUCGAGCUUGUUAACAGAAGGCUUGACGAGGCGCAGGGUAAGUAUCCUUGUCUAGUAAACACCAAAUAGGAAGAGUAUGAUGCCAGUGUUUUUAACAUGUUAUGACUGCAGAUGGAGCUGCCACUGUUGAAGCCUUGCGGGCAGAACUUGCCCGAGCCAAGGAACAAGCAAGAUUGGGUAAUGCGGCUGCUUUGAAGGCGGCCGAAGAGUUGCGAGCCGAGAAGGCCGCACAUGGCGAGAGCCAGAAGAAGAUGGCCAAUAUGGCCGUAGAAUUAAAAGCCGCCGUAGACCGUUGUCGGGCUCUUGAAAAGGAAAACCAGGCGAAGGCAUCGGACCUUGAGAAGGCUGCUAUAACGGGAAAAGACCUCCGCUCUGCUAUGAGGGCGAAGAAGGAGGAGCUGCGGGAAGCCAGGGAUAUUGUAGCCGGGAAGUCCUUUAUGCUACAGAGGAAGUACGGAGAUCCAUGGUAUGCCCCUCUGGAUCGGCUGUGGAGUUCGGAGGAUGCGUAUAUGGAUUUGGCGGCGAGCGCUGCCGAUGCGGCCAAGUACUUCCAGAGUCAUACGGACCGCGAAGUAGACCAGCUGUUUUGGAAGCAAUUCCUUUCUCCCGAGCGUCCGCUUUCGUUGACGGACCAAUUAGCCGAAUGGGCCAAACUGAAUAGGUUGUCCGGACUCUCCAUGAGGUCUGUUGUGGAUCAGCUAUGGCCUGGAAGGUCAAAACCGAGCAGCUAUUUCAGCUUGGUGCAGUAGGUCCUCGAUGUGGUGCCGCGCAUAAAUGCGAUGAAGAGGUCGGCGUGCAUAGAAGGCGCAUGGAUGGCCUUUGCCCGUGCUAAAGCGUACUGGGCAGAGAUGGAUGCUACCACUGUUGCAGCGCAUGAUUCGGCCAUAGGUCGAAGGGCUGCUGAGCACUACUUUGAGGAAGUACUUGAGGGUGCUCGUUUGAUAGAGACCCAGUGCUCAAAAAAUAUUAUGUUUGAGUGACAUGUAAUCUCAUUGUAAGCGAAAUGCUUUUAUAAAUUUUUAUGAGGCUACUUUUAUACUUUUGCCUGAAAGUAAUGUGAUGCCUCCUGGGCGGCCGUUUAUGUAUACAUGAGUAUAACCUGAAAGAUUGUAGUCGUCGGCUUCAACCCCCACGCAUAUAAUGCGGAGGUGUUCGCAGAAACACGCGUUCACACUUAACCCAAUGUCUUGGUCCUAUUAAGGAGGUGAUAGCCGAGCGAGCAAGGCUACCGGACUAUAAUGCUUUAACACUUUCACUUAGCCAUAGGAGUUUGACAGUGGGGCUACUAGAUAGCCCCUGGUGGCUCCGCACUCUCCCGAUCCCGGGGUGCGUAUAUGCCUGGCCGGAAAGCGGCCCUUCGUUAGAGCAGAGGAAUUCUAACAUUCCCAUGAGUCAUCGAGUGGUUGACCAGUCUCACGCUAGAUCAUGGCAGUCAGUUUUCGACUUUCUCUACUGAGGUGCUCGUCCGGAUAAACCAGGGCACAAUCGCAGUAGUUCUCCUGGUGCUACCUUAGCCGGUAAAGCGGAACAUAAGGCACCAAAACGCAGGAGCCGGGCAAACCCAACAUUUGACCAAAGACAAUGAUUCAGAGCUGAUGCAUAUAGAGCCAAACUCGCGAAGCCGAACACUCCCUAAGGUAUUCGGUCUUUGUGGUAUAAACUGGGCCUGAAGAAUGGCCUUUGUAAGAAGCCCCUUGUGUCCAGGUACGUGCAUUGUUCUGGCGUGGACACAUGCCAAGACGUCAGCAUCCUACUCAACAGUGGAUAUGUAUCAACAAGAGACAGUAAAAAAGGUUUACGCAGGGUCUUAAUCUAAAAAGAAUCCUUGGGUCGGGUCCCUGCUGCACGUCUGCGCCUGUGUCUCCGUUAUGCCGUAUCCUAGACGGGUGUAACACGAUGAUCAUCUGUAAAAGAGAGGAAUUUAGGUGAAAAGGUUGGCGUGCAAAAGGAUAGUUUUCUAAAGAAACCAUGUGUAAUUUAAGAUAAGAAGAAAUCACCACUCGUCUGCGUGCGUUGAGCCCCUUGUACUUUUGAAAGAUAGGGGUGUGACCGUUUAUUCGAUAUGAGUAGAGGCGCCGGACUUGAUUAGUUGUGACUGAGGUCUUGACGACCUAUUGGAUGCUUUUGCUGGUCCGGGCGCCUUUAUUGUGCGGCUGCCAAGGCAGCCUCACUCUCUUCUGCGCACCGAGAUUGCUUGAUACUUCCGUGCACUGAAAUGAUGCCACGAGGACCGGGCAUCUUGAGUGAUAGGGAGGCGUAGUGUGGUAUUGCAUUAAAGCGAGCGAAAGCUUCGCGUCCGAGUAGUGCUUGAUAGCCACUUUUAAAUGGAGCGACGUGGAAAGUUAAAUGCUCGCGACGGAAGUUAUCGGGGGAGCCGAAUAUAACUUGUAGUAGGAGGGAGCCCGUACAACGAGCCCCUGGGUCUGGCGUUACUCCUUUAAAGGUAGUAUUGCUAUGGCAAAUUUGUGUUGGGUCUAACCCCAUCCCGCGGAUUGUAUCUUGAUAUAUUAGGUUUAGGCUACUGCCGCCAUCCAUCAAGACUCGUGUGAAGUGGUAUCCGCCAAUUACUGGGUCUAAUACCAGGGCAGCCCAUCCUGCAUGCCGGGUACUUGAUGCGUAAUCGCGAUGGUCGAAGGUGAUCGGUUGGGACGACCAGUGGCGGGACUUCGCGGUGACGGGCACUUGGGUAUAUUUUUCAGGGAGUGCCGCAUUGUUUUUCCUCUUGAUCACGUGUAACACGUUUACUGUUUUGACUUCAGGUGGAAAUUUCUUUUGUCACCCCUUGUCUUGCUUGGGAGGGUCGUCCUCGUCUUCACUUGGUGUAUCCUCCCCCUUGUGUAUGGCGUUAAGCUUGCCGGACUGCUUGAAGACCCAACAUUAUCUAUGGGUAUGAUUAGCAGGUUUGCUAGGGGUACUAUGGAUCUGACAUACUUGGUCCAGGAUUUUGUUGAGGCUGGACAGUUCAACCCUGGUGCCUUUGGAGGGCGGCUUUUGGUUUGACCGAGGGACUUUGAAUCCGGCGUUUACUGCCAUGCCCUUCGUGCUGUCUUCUUUAUUCUGGCAUUUGUUAUUGUUGUUGUGCCGUGAUUUCCCAUUUCCAUCUCUAACUUCAGAUGUACUGGGGUCGCUGGUGCUGCAUCUAGCUAGCCAGCUGUCCUCACCCGCGCAAAAGCGGGUCAUGAGGUUUGUUAAUGCGGCCAUCAUUCUCGGCUUGUUUUGGCCAAGGUGUCUGGCGAGCCAUUCGUCGCGGACGCUGUGCUUGAAAGCCGCUAAGGCUUCGGUGUCCGGACAGUCGACAAUCUGGUUCUUUUUAGUAAGAAACCUAUUCCAAAGCUUUCGGGCUGACUCUUCGGGCUGUUGAGUUAUGUGACUCAGGUCGUCCGCAUCCGGAGGUUGGACAUACGUCCCUUGAAAGUUUGCCCGAAAGGCGUCUUCGAGCUCUUCCCAUCUUCCAAUGGAGCUUUCGGGGAGGCCUUUGAGCCAGUGACGAGCUGGCCCUUUGAGUUUGAGAGGUAAGUACUUGAUGGCAUGGAGAUUAUCCCCUCAAGCCAUAUGUAUAUGGAGGAUAUAGUCCUCAAUCCAGACCCCAGGGUCUGUUGUUCCGUCGUAUGCCUCUAUGUUUACGGGCUUGAAUCCCUCUGGGAAUUCGUGGUCUAGCACCUCAUCGGUGAAACAUAGGGGGUGUGCGGCACCCCUGUAGCUGGGUGUGCCGCGUUGUUCGGAUGUUUGUUGUGUUGCAUUGUAUGUUGGGGCGCGCUUGCGUGAUCCAUAGAUGUAUCUUGUUGCACCGUCCUUUGGGUGUGAGCCCUCGCAUGGGUCGCGUGUUGUAUUAUGAGCGGCGUUGCAUGCCGUUCUGCGGUGGUAGAGGGGCCGUUUAUCCGACCGGGUGGCUGCUUUGAUAUUUGGUUGUGGGGGGUCUGAGGCCUCCUCAUCGAAUUCGGGUAGAAGCUUCCACUUUGGGUAGCUCUUGGAGGGGCGAUUGUCGCCGUACCUUGCUACGGUGUUGAGUAUCUUGCUCCAUCUUAAUUGGAGCGUUUCUUGCGCGGCCUUGAGCCUUCGCUUCUGCUUUUUAAGGCUCCUCGCGGUGGCAACGAGCCUUUUACGGGCAUUCUGCUACUCCGGGUGCCUGUCCGGUGUUAUGUCGUCCAGACCAUUAUCCCUGAUAGGAUUUGUUUGUUCAGUUUGAUUAUCCGGAUUGUCGUUGUUCGGCAGUGGUUCGCCCUGCUCCAGCGCUGGGCCUGUGUGAUCACUAUUUCUGUCGAGGCGGGUUUUGGGGCGGCGCUUGCGUCACGGCUUUGACUGCUUUUCGAGGAAACAAUCCUUCGGUGCGUCCCUCCGCUCCUCGUCGUCAUCUUUUGGUGCGCCCACCAUGUAUACGUCGUAUGACGAGGUGGCGCUCCAAGGCUCAAUAGGCGCUGGUUCUUUAUCGUCUCCUUCAUCGGCGUCCAUACCGUCAAUGUCGUCGGAGUCGAAGUCGAGCAUGUCGGUUAAAUCGUUGACAGUGGCUACCAAGUGGGUGGUGGGUGGGCUUUGAACUUCUCCAUUGUCCGAAUCCCAACCUUGUUGACCUAGUCCAGCCAGGGCUCUCCUGAUAGAGAGAGAGACUUCAGUGUCUUCAGAAUAUCGCCGAAGGGCAAGUGCUAAAAGAUGUCCGUGGUAGUAAACUCCAUGACCGGCGCCCAAUCGGAUCCGAUUGGCAGGGGCGCGGGGGGUUCGGAAUCCGGAGAGGAGUCCGGCUCCUCGGAGUCACGAGUCUCGCGGAGUGCGGGGCUGGUGUUCGGCUCGAUCGCCGUUGGGAUCUCAGCCCCUGAGGCGGCGUCCAACCGCCCGUCCUCAAUCGGCGCGGCCGGCUCCGAACUAGGGGUUGGAGCCAACACGGGUGCGGCCUCCAGGGCACUGCUCGGUAGCAGAGCUAGAUCAUGCUCGUCGUGACAGUGCGACGCGCUCGGCAGUGGUUCGAAUCCGUCGAAGAUCAAGUCCCCGCGGAUGUCGGCCGUGUAGUUUAAACUUCCGAAUCUGACCUGACGGCCAGGGGCGUAGCUUUCGAUCUGCUCUAGAUGGCCAAGUGAAUCGGCCCGCAGUGCGAAGCCGCCAAAGACGAAGAUCUGUCCGGGGAGGAAGGUCUCACCCUGGACUGCAUCGCCAUUGAUGAUCGUAGGAGCCAUCGGGCCUGACGGUGAGGGCACAGAGGAACUCUCAAUGAAAGCACCAAUGUCGGUGUCAAAACCGGCGGAUCUCGGGUAGGGGGUCCCGAACUGUGUGUCUAGGCCGGAUGGUAACAGGAGGCAGGGGACACGAAGUUUUACCCAGGUUCGGGCCCUCUCGAUGGAGGUAAAACCCUACGUCCUGCUUGAUUAAUAUUGAUGGUAUGGGUAUUACAAGAGUUGAUCUACCACGAGAUCAGAGAGGCUAAACCCUAGAAGCUAGCCUAUGGUAUGAUUGUUGAUGUGUAUGUUGUCCUACGGACUAAAACCCUCCGGUUUAUAUAGACACCGGGUAGGGUUAGGGUUACAUAGAGUCGGUUACAAUGGUAGGAGAUCUGCAUAUCCGUAUCGCCAAGCUUGCCUUCCACGCCAAGGAAAGUCCCUCCCGGACACGGGACGAAGUCUUCAAUCUUGUAUCUUCAUAGUCCAGGAGUCCGGCUGAAGGUAUAGUCCGGCCAUCCGGACACCCCCUAAUCCAGGACUCCCUCACCUUCUAUCACAGAUCUGAAGGCAAGAUAUUCGUUGCUAAGAAUGGAUCCUUUCUAGAGAAGGAGUUUCUCUCGAAAGAAUUGAGUGGGAGGAAAGUAGAACUUGAUGAGGUAAUUGUACCUUCUCCCUUAUUGUAAAGUAGUUCAUCACAGAAAUCAGUUCCAGUGAUUCCUAUACCAAUUAGUGAGGAAGCUAAUGAUGAUGAUCAUGAAACUUCUAAUCAAGUUACUACCAAACCUCGUAGGUCAACCAGAGCAAGAUCCGCACUAAAGUGGUACGGUAAUCCUGUUCUGGAGGUCAUGUUACUUGACCAUGACGAACCUACGAACUAUGAGGAAGCGAUGAUGAGCCCAGAUUCCACAAAGAUGGCUUGAGGCCAUGAAAUCUGAGAUGGGAUCCAUGUAUGAGAACAAAGUAUGGACUUUGGUUGACUUGCCCGAUGAUCGGCAAGCCACAGAGAAUAAAUGGAUCUUCAAGAAGAAGACUGACGCUGACAGUAAUGUUACUGUCUACAAAACUCUACUUGUUGUGAAAGGUUUUCGACAAGUUCAAGGAGUUGACUACGAUGAGACUUUCUCACCCAUAGCGAUGCUUAAGUCCGUCCGAAUCAUCUUAGCAAUUGCCGCAUUUUAUUGUUACGAAAUUUGGCAAAUGGAUGCCAAAACUGCAUUCCUUAAUGGAUAUCUCAAAGAAGAGUUGUAUAUGAUGCAACCAGAAGGUUUUGUCGAUCCUAAAGGUGCUAACAAAGUGUGCAAGCUCCAGCGAUCCAUUUAUGGACUGGUGCAAGCCUCUCGGAGUUGGAAUAUAUGCUUUGAUAGUGCAAUCAAAGCAUAUGGUUUUAUACAGACUUUUGGAGAAGCCUGUAUUUACAAGAAAGUGAGUGGGAGCUCCGUAACAUUUCUGAUAUGAUAUGUGGAUGACAUAUUGUUGAUCGGAAAUGAUACUGAAUUUCUGAAUAGCAUACAAGGAUACUUGAAUAAGAAUUUUUCAAUGAAAGACCUCGGUGAAGCUACUUAUAUAUUGGGCAUCAAGAUCUAUAGGGAUAGAUCAAGAUGCUUAAUUGGACUUUCACAAAGCAAAUACCUUGAUAAAGUUUUGAAAAAGUUCAAAAUGGAUCAAGCAAAGAAAGGGUUCUUGCCUGUGUUACAAGGUGUGAAGUUGAGUCAGACUCAAUGCCCGACCAGUGCAGAAGAUAGAGAGAAAAUGAAAGUCAUUCCCUAUGCCUCAGCCAUAGGUUCUAUCAUGUAUGCAAUGCUGUGUACCAGACCUGAUGUGUGCCUUGCUAUUAGUUUAGCACGGAGGUACCAAAGUAAUCCAGGAGUGGAUCACUGGACAGUGGUCAAGAACAUUCUGAAAUACCUGAAAAGGACUAAGGAUAUGUUUCUCGUUUAUGGAGGUGACAAAGAGCUCAUCGUAAAUGGUUACGUCGAUGCAAGCUUUGACACUGAUCCGGAUGACUUUAAGUCACAAAUCGGAUACAUAUUUUUAUUGAAUGGUGGAGCUGUUAGUUGGUGCAGUUCUAAGCAGAGCAUCGUGGCGGGAUCUACGUGUGAAGCGGAAUACAUAGUUGCUUCGGAAGAAGCAAAUGAAGGAGUCUGGAUGAAGGAGUUCAUAUCCGAUCCAGGUGCAAUACCUAGUGCAUCGGGUCCAAUGAAAAUCUUUUGUGACAAUACAGGUGCAAUUGCCUUGGCAAAGGAAUCCAGAUUUCACAAGAGAACCAAUCACAUCAAGAGAUGCUUCAAUUCCAUAUACGAUCAAGUCAAGGAGGGAGACAUAGAGAUUUGCAAGAUACAUACGGAUCUGAAUAUUGCAGACCCGUUGACUAAGCCUCUCUCACGAGCAAAACAUGAUCAACACCAAGACUCCAUGGGUGUUAGAAUCAUUACUGUGUAAUCUAGAUUAUUGACUCUAGUGCAAGUGGGAGACUGAAGGAAAUAUGCCCUAGAGGCAAUAAUAAAGUUGUUAUUUAUAUUUCCUUAUAUCAUGAUAAAUGUUUAUUAUUCAUGCUAGAAUUGUAUUAACCGGAAACUUAGUACAUGUGUGAAUACAUAGACAAACAAAUUGUCCCUAGUAUGCCUCUACUUGACUAGCUCGUUAAUCAAAGAUGGUUAACUUUCCUAGCCAUGGACAUGUGUUAUCAUUUGAUGAAUGGGAUCACAUCAUUAGAGAAUGAUGUGAUGGACUAGACCCAUCCGUUAGCUUAGCACUAUGAUCGUUUAGUUUAUUGCUAUUGCUUUCUUCAUGACUUAUACAUGUUCCUUUGACUAUGAGAUUAUGAAACUCCCGAAUAUUGGAGGAACACUUAGUGUGCUAUCAAACAUCACAACGUAACUGGGUGAUUAUAAAGAUGCUCUACAGGUGUCUUCGAUGGUGUUUGUUGAGUUGGCAUAAAUCGAGAUUAGGAUUUGUCACUCUGCGUAUCAGAGAGGUAUCUCUGGGCCCUCUCGGUAAUGCACAUCACUAUGUCUACAUAGUUCUCGAACCCGUAGAGUCCGCACGCUUAACAUUCGAUGAUGAUUUGUAUUAUGAGUUAUGUGAUUUGAUGUACCGAAGGUUGUUCGGAGUCCCGGAUGAGAUCAUAGACAAGACGAGGAGUCUCUAAAUGGUCGAGACAUAAAGAUUGAUAUAAUUGACCAUGUUAUUCGGACACCGGAAGUGUUCCGGAUGGUUUCGGAGUGCCGAAGGGGUUACCGGAACCCCUCGGGGAAGUAAUGGGCCUUAGUGCGCCUGAGGGAAGAGAGAGGGCAGCAACCAGGAGGUGGCGCGCACGCCCCAAGGGGAGUCCGAAUAGGACUAGGGGAGGGGGCACGGCCCCUCUUCCCCUCUCCCUCUCCCUCUCCUUCCUUCUUCUCCUACUUGGACUAGGAAAGGGGGGGACCGAUUCCUACUUGGAGUAGGAUCCCCCUCUUGGGCGCGCCCCUUGUGGCCGGCCAGCCGGCCUCCUCCCCUUCUUUAUAUAUGGGGGAGGGGGCACCCCAUAGACACACAAGUUGAUCUUUAGCCAUGUGCAGUGCCCCCUCCACAGUUUUACACCUUAGUCAUAUUGUCGUAGUGCUUAGGCGAAGCCCCGUGUCAUUAACUUCAUCAUCACCAUCGACACGCCGUCGUGCUGACGAAACUCACCCUCGGCCUCAGCUGGAUCAAGAGUACGAGGGACGUCACCGAGCUAAAUGUGUGCAGAUCGCGGAGGUGCCGUGCGUUUGGUACUUGAUCGGUUGGAUCACGAAGACGUUCGACUACAUCAAUCGCGUUACUAAACGCUUCCGCUUUCGGUCUACAAGGGUACUUAGACACACUCUCCCAUCUUGUUGUUAUGCAUCUCCUAGAUAGAUCUUGCGUGAUCGUAGGAAUCUUUUGAGAUACUGUGUUCCCCAACAUAUUCACCCCACGCUAUUGCUCCCUGGCAAUGGCGCUAGAAAUAGGUCUUGAUAACCCACAUGUAUAGGGGAUCGUUUGUAGCCUUUUUUGAUAAAUAAGAGUGUCGAACCCAACGAGGAGCUAAAGGUAGAACAAAUAUUCCCUCAAGUUCUAUCGACCACCGAUACAACUCUACGCACACUUGACGUUUGCUUUACCGAAAACAAGUAUGAAACUAUUUUGUAGGUGUCAUGCUAGAACUACUUUGCAAGAAUAAAACUAGAAAUACUUUGCAAGAUAAUAAAUGUUAAGUGUUUAGUAAAAGGGUUCGUGUCAACAAGAAAGUUAUUUGUCCCCAGGCAACCGAUAACAAGUACCGGUAAUCAUUCUUGUAAUUUAUAUGAGGGAGAGGCAUGAGCUAACAUACUUUCUCUACUUGGAUCAUAUGCACUUAUGGUUGGAACUCUAGCAAGCAUCCACAACUACUAAAGACCAUUAAGGUCAUGAAACCCAACCAUAGCAUUAAGUAUCAAGUCCUCUUUACUCCCAUACGCCAUAACCCGCCUACUCGGGUUUAAGUUUCUGUCACUCUCACAACCCACCGUAAGCAAAUCAUGAACAUAUUGCAACACCCUACAAUGGGGGCCCCUCAUGUUGGUGCGAGAAUGGAGGGUAUGGUAGGACAGCACCAUAAAUAAAAUAUACAAUCAUACCAACCAAGAUCACGAUUAACCCACAGGACAAAACGGAUCUACUCAAACAUUGUAGCGACCAGACCUCAAACGGUCUGAUCUCUGUGCUCCGGUGUCAUCCCUGGAUCAGUAAUGCUGACACCACACAAUACUCGGAGGAUUUAUAAUAGAGUAGCAAUCACACACUUAUUACAUCGAGUGUCUCCAUAGAGAAUUUAUUACAAUAAAUAUGGCUUAAGGCCAUCUAAUAACGAUAACAGCGGAAGACUUGGAAGAUAAGUGAGUCCAUCAACUCCAACGGCAUCACUGAGUAUAGAACCACGACCUAAAACUCCUUAUUCGUCGUCUGAAAAGUCUGCAAGAUUAACGUUGCAGCCCGAAACGGGUCAGCACAUGGAAUAUGCUGGCAAUGUAACACAUAGAGAGUAAUGGAAUGAAACAGCUAUACUACAUGCAUAUUUGGCUAGUGGAAAGCUCUAUGGUUACAAUUUUGCGUAAAUCCAAUUCUUCCCUACUGCAAAGGAAUAAAUUUAUUUAACUAUCAUGGUGGUUGUUAAACAUUGAGAAUGGUUGACAGCAUUCUCAAUCCCAAUUAAACAUCAUCAUUAAUCAAAACCCAACAAAAUUAAUUUAGAGUAACAUGUUGAGAUUCACAUGAUAAUCCAAGUACUAGAUACUCAAGAUGUCCAUAACCGGGCACAUGGCUAACCAUGAUUAGUUUAUACACUCCGCAGAGGUUUGCGCACUUUUCCCCACAAGACUCGAUCGCCUCCGUUUGGUUUCUUGCACUACAGGGUGUUUGAGAAGACGGUUGACCGAGACAUAGUCUUUCAGAAGCGCUAGCACCUUACGAUGGAUAGAUCGUUACACCUACUUUCCCCUACAUCUGCUAGUCUACCCUGUAAGAGUUCACACGAGUUAAUCAACUAUGCUAGAGCCCAUAAUAGCUUGUGGCUGCACACGGAAGUUUCUAGUAUGAAUAAUCUCAUGAUCCCUAUGAGCCUCGGUGGCGGUCCAAACGAAAAUAGGCAAAUCCUGGAAUACCCAGGUACCUCAAUCCACCCAGAUGUGUGUUUAAGUUGCCACCUUAGAUAAACCAUUAAUUUAACAAUCUCACAUCUGUCAUGGAUACACUCACCCAAUCCAUGUCUACUAGCAUAGCAUGGCAAUAAGCAAACGUAGAAGUAACUCCCAAAGGUUUGAUAGUAGAUAGGUAAUAGGUACUACCUCAACUACUUCCCAUCCCACAAUUUAAUUAGAUCCUAAUCAUGCAAUGUGUGAGGAUUGAUCUAAUGCAUUAAAACUGGGUAGUAGUAAAGGUAUGAUCAAGUGUUACUUGCCUUACUGAUGAUCGGCGAAACCUAGCGAUUUGAAGUAACAGGCGGCACACUCCGGGUAUUCUAUCGCAGACAAACAAACAAGCAUACAAUAAGUACUCAUCUAAUGCACGGGUAAAACUAGAAUAAGUGAUCUAACCAGAAGGUUCAACUUAAGAACUCUGGUUCGCAAAAAGAAUCAAAUCGAACGAAGCAACGAAAGUCAAACGGCGAAAGAAAACAACUUCAUUCUAGUAAUCUGGAUCUAAGGCAAUUUUUACAGUAUCAAAAGUUUGUUUAAGUUGGUUAAACGGAUAGAGGGUUUCGAGACGAAACUCCAGGCGCUUGAAUCGCCUGAUUCCGAUAAACGAGCGAAAAGUUAUACUAAAACGAAAAUCGGAUCAGUAAUCGCGAUCAGAAAAAUCGCGGAUUUAAUCCGAGAAAAAGAAAAAAACGAACGUUCGUUAGAACGAACGAACGGACGAACGCUCGCUAUUUAAAUAAAUCGGAAAAACCGAUCUAUUAGAAAAACCGAAACUAAAAAAACUGACGGAAAACCGACGGAAAAACUGAACGGUUUUUCAAGAAAAAAAAUGGCGGCACGGAUUUCGAGGCGCGGCGAACCUCGGGCGGCGUGCGGCGGCGGCGACGUCCGGCGGCGGCGGGGCGGCGCUGGCGACGGCGGGNNNNNNNNNNNNNNNNNNNNNNNNNNNNNNNNNNNNNNNNNNNNNNNNNNNNNNNNNNNNNNNNNNNNNNNNNNNNNNNNNNNNNNNNNNNNNNNNNNNNNNNNNNNNNNNNNNNNNNNNNNNNNNNNNNNNNNNNNNNNNNNNNNNNNNNNNNNNNNNNNNNNNNNNNNNNNNNNNNNNNNNNNNNNNNNNNNNNNNNNNNNNNNNNNNNNNNNNNNNNNNNNNNNNNNNNNNNNNNNNNNNNNNNNNNNNNNNNNNNNNNNNNNNNNNNNNNNNNNNNNNNNNNNNNNNNNNNNNNNNNNNNNNNNNNNNNNNNNNNNNNNGUUUCGGCUGGGGCUGGGCCUCCCCCCCCGGCUUAUAUAGCCUAGUCGGGCUGGAGCCCUAGUCGGACACGACCCGUUAGGUCGGUUCGUUUUUUAAAAUAAUUACGCGCAGAAGAAAAAUAAAAAGAAAUACUAAACGGACACCAAAAAUCCCGAAAUAAAUUUUCCCGGGCUUCUAAAAUCAAGCCGCACAAGGUGAACAUUUAUUUGAGGCCUAAAUGCAAUUUUGAAAAACGCACAUUUUUCUUAAAUUCAAAUAAAAUAACGAAAAACUCUGAAAUAAAAUCUUAUUUGAUUUUAUUAUUAAAUCCUCAAUAUUUCUUUAUUUUGGGAAAGUCAUUUUAUUCCCUCUCUCAUAUUUUUGUAGUAGAAAUAAUUGAUGAUAAAAUAAUAAAAUCAAAUUAUCCUAUUCUCAAAAUUUGAGAAAACUCAAAUAUGAAAAUAAAGAAUUCCCCAACUCUCUCCAUGGGUCCUUGAGUUGUGUAGAAAUUUCUAGGAUCAACCAAAAAUGCAAAAUAAAAUAUGUUAUGCAUUUAUGAUCUAAUGUAUAACAUUCCAAAUUGAAAAUUUGGGAUGUUACGAACCUACCCCCCUUAAGAUGAAUCUCGCCCUCAAGAUUCGGGUUGGCUAGAAAAUAGGUGAGGAUGGUCUUUGAGCAAAUCUUCCUCUCGUUCCCAGGUGGCUUCAUCCUCCGUGUGGUGGCUCCACUGAACUUUGCAAAACUUGAUAACCUUGCUGCGGGUGACUCGACUGGCAAACUCGAGAAUCUUAAUUGGUUUCUCCUCAUAGGUCAAAUCGUUAUCCAACUGAAUUGCUUCCAAUGGCACUGUGUCUCUCAAGGGUAUGUCAGCCAUCUCCGCGUGGCACUUCUUCAACUGAGAAACGUGGAACACAUCAUGAACUCCUGACAAUCCUUCGGACAAUUCCAACUUGUAGGCCACUUCUCCCAUACACUCCAAUACUUGGUAUGGUCCUAUAAGUCGUGGCGCUAACUUUCCCUUAACACCAAAACGCUUUGUUCCCCAAAGUGGAGACACUCGAAGAUAAGCUCUAUCUCCAACUUCGUAAACAGUCUCCUUGUGUUUAGAAUCUGCAUAACUCUUCUGUCUGGACUGAGCUACCUUGAGUCUAUCGCGAAUCAAUUUCACCUUCUGUUCAGACUCUUUAAUCAAAUCAGGCCCAAACAACUAGCGGUCUCCAACUUCGUCCCAUGACAACGGUGUCUUGCACCUCCUUCCGUACAAGGCUUCGAAAGGGGCCAUCUUUAAACUGGUUUGGUAGCUGUUGUUGUAAGAGAACUCUGCAUAUGGCAAAUUGUCAUCCCAACUAGAUCCAUAAUCUAGCGCACAAGCUCUCAGCAUAUCCUCCAAAAUCUGAUUGACUCUCUCGGUCUGUCCAUCUAUCUGUGGAUGAAAAGUUGUACUGAAUUCUAGCCUGGUUCCCAAAGUUUCGUGCAACUGCUUCCAGAACUUUGAGGUAAAUUGGGUUCCUCUAUCUGAUACGAUACUCCUCGGAACUCCAUGCAAACAUACGAUCCUGCUCAUGUAUAUCCUUGCCAACUUAGCACUGGUGUAAGUGGUCUUUACCGGGAUGAAAUGAGCUACUUUCGUCAACCGAUCAACUACAACCCAAAUCGAGUCAUAGCCUGAACGAGUUCUGGGCAAUCCCGUGAUAAAAUCCAUGCCUAACUUAUCCCACUUCCACUCGGGUAUCGGCAACGGUUGUAACAAUCCUCCUGGCUUCUGAUGCUCUACCUUUACUCUCUGACAUACAUCACAAACUGCUACAUACUCCGCAAUAUCUUUCUUCAUUCCGGUCCACCAGAAAAUCUCCUUCAAAUCCAAAUACAUCUUGGUAUUUCCUGGGUGAAUCGAAUAUGGUGAAUCGUGUGCCUCUUGCAGAAUCAACUUCCUGAUCUCCGGGUCAUUGGGCACAUAAACACGGUCUUCAACCCAUAGGGUGUCGUGCUCAUCCUCACGAAAUCCUUUAGCCUUUCCUUCGCUUAUUUUCUCCUUUAUAGAGGCAAUCUCCUUGUCAGUCUUCUGAGCUUCUCUGAUUCUAUCCAUCAAAGUUGACUGAAUCUCCAAUGCUGCUACAUAGCCUCUCGGAACUAUUUUCAAACAUAGCUCAUGAAGAUUUUCUGCUAACUCCCUUGGUAUUUCUCCCGUCAUUAGCGUAUUGACAUGGCUCUUACGGCUUAAUGCGUCAGCUACUACAUUAGCCUUCCUGGGAUGAUAAUGCAAUUUCAUAUCAUAAUCCUUGAUGAGCUCCAACCAUCUCCUUUGUCUGAGAUUCAACUCCUUCUGGGUGAAAAUAUACUUCAAACUCUUAUGAUCCGUGUACACCUCACAAUGAUUUCCAAUCAGGAAAUGUCUCCAUGUUUUCAAUGCAUGCACUACGGCUGCUAACUCCAAAUCAUGCGUAGCAUAAUUCAACUCAUGAGGUUUAAGCUGUCUUGAGGCAUAUGAAACAACUCUCCCUUCCUGCAUAAGCACUGCUCCAGGUCCGCGUCGUGAAGCGUCGCAAUACACCUCAUAAUCCUUGGUCUGGUCUGGCAAAAUCAACACUGGUGAAGUAACAAGCAUUUCUUCAACUCCUGGAAACUAGCCUCACACUCCUCAGUCCAUUUGAACUUGGUAUCUUUCUUCAACAACCCAGUCAUAGGCUUCGCAAUCUUUGAGAAAUUCUCAAUAAAUCUCCGGUAGUAUCCUGCGAGUCCAAGAAAACUCCGGAUCUCUCCCACAGUGGUUGGUGCUUCCCACUUGGUCACGGUAUCAACUUUAGUGGGAUCAACUGCUAUACCUUCUCCAGAUAUAACGUGUCAGAGGAAUCCUACUUCCUUCAACCAAAACUCACAUUUGCUGAACUUGGCAUACAAUUGAUGUUCUCUGAGCUUUCCAAGAACCAAACGCAAAUGCUCCUUAUGCUCCUAUUCAUUCUUUGAGUAAACCAAGAUAUCAUCAAUGAACACUAUGACGAACUUAUCCAAAAACUCCAUAAACACUUUGUUCAUCAUGUUCAUAAAAUAAGCAGGUGCGUUAGUCAGACCAAAUGACAUAACGGUAUACUCGUACAGCCCAUACCUUGUGGUAAAAGCUGUCUUAGGUAUAUCUUGUUCCCGAAUCUUCAACUGGUGGUAUCCUGAUCGCAGAUCGAUCUUGGAAAAUACCUUAGCUCCUUGCAAUCGAUCAAACAGAUCAUUGAUCAUUGGUAGUGGGUACUUGUUCUUGAUCGUUACUUCAUUCAAUCCUUGGUAAUCCACAACCAUCCUUAACGAUCCAUCCUUCUUCUCCACUAGAAGUACUGGCGAUCCCCAAGGCGAAGAACUUGGGAGAAUAUAUCCCUUAUUCAGUAACUCCUUAAUCCGCUUCUUAAUUUCCACCAAAUCCUUUGCAGGCAUCAUGUAUGGUCUCUUUGAUAUUGGCCCUGUGCCUGGCAAUAGCUCAAUUAAAAACUCAAUAUCUCUAUCCAGUGGCAUGCCUGGCAACUCUUCUGGAAAUACUUUAGGGAAAUCCCUUACCACUGGUACUUCCUCCUGCACAACUCCUGUUAAGCAAUUUACUUGAGUCCUCUUUGGCACAUGUCGGGAUACAUACUUGAUCCUUCUCCCUUCUGGGGUGGUAAGAGAAAUUGUCUUAUUGGUGCAAUCGAUGUUUCCUCCAUACAUCGACAGCCAAUCCAUACCCAGAAUUACAUCCAAUCCUUGUGAUUCCAAAAUGAUUAAAUCCGAGGGAAACACAUGCCUACCUAUACUCAACGGCACUUGAAAACAUCCUUGACUGGCCAUAUACUCCGCUCCUGGUGAGCUUACUAGCAUAGGUGUUCUAAGAACCUUAGUGGGCAGGUUAUACUUAUCCACAAAUCCCCUUGAUAUGUAUGAAUGCGAUGCACCAGUAUCAAAAAGAAUGAGUGCAGUAAAUGACUUAACCAAGAACUUACCGAUUACGGCAUCCGGCCCCUCUUCAACCUCCUCCACGUUAACGUGGUUCACUUGUCCCCUGUUAAAAGGGUUCGGCUUCUUCCCAGAACUUCCAUUGCCAUUCUGGCCUUUAGGACAUUCAUUGGCAUAAUGUCCGGUCUUCGAACACUUAAAGCAAGUGACUUGGCUCAGGUCCUUGGCUGGGGUUGAUGAGUUGGUGCGAUUCUGUCCGUUUCUUCCUCCAUUCCCAUUACCAUUCCUGGUGCCAUUGUGAUUGUGCGAGCUACCUCCUCCAUGGGUAUGCUGAAAAUGUCCUCCCGAUCUAGGGGUAAAACGUGGCUUCUGCUGAGCUCAAGAAGUGUACUUCCCUUGUCCAUACUUCCUCUUGCGGUUCUCAAUCUGCUGCUGCUUGCCUUCAAUCAUAAGAGCACGAUCUACCAACUCCUGGUAGUUGUUGAAGGUUGCUCCCAUCAACUGCAUGCUCAACUCAUCGUUCAGUCCUUCCAGAAACUUCUCCUGCUUAGCUGCAUCCGUAGCAACGUCAUCUGGGGCAUAACGUGCUAAUUUACUAAAGUCCUCCACAUACUGGCCAACUGUCCGUCCUUCCUGGCGCAAGUUGCGAAACUCACGCUUUUUCAUGGCCAUAGCUCCUGCUGAAACAUGGGCAGUACGAAAGGCCUGCUGAAACUGGUCCCAUGUGACAGUGUCGACAGGGAAAGUGGCUGUGAAAUUCUCCCACCAUGAUGCUGCGGGUCCUUCAAGCUGAUGUGCGGCAAACUUCACCUUCUCCGCAUCUGUGCAUCCUGCUGUGGUCAACUCUCUAGCUGUCUUGCGGAGCCAAUCAUCUGCUACUAUCGGCUCGGUGCUACUAGAAAACACCGGUGGAUUCAGCCUAAGAAAACGGGCUAAGUGAUCAACAGGUGGUGGUGGUGGUGGGUUGUUGUUGUUGUUGUUCCCCUGAUUCUGAUUCUGGACUAGCAACUGCAUCAAUGUGUUCUGCUGCUGGAUCAACUGGGUGAGCUCCGGUGGAAAGGUAAAUCCGGGGUCACGUCUUGGAGGCAUCUGAGGGUUUAGAAAAGAUGAGAGUUAAGAAUGGAGGGGUCUAAAGAGAAAACACUACCCAUAUGCACAUGAGGCAAAAGCAAACAAUUCACUUCAUUCAAUCAAACAAGGGCAUACAAUCGAUCUAACUAUCGCAAAAGUGCUCAGACUACUGUAUUUACAUGAUGGACUACUACUACUAAUGAGGUGGUCUACUAGAAAUAUUCUUCGGUUGCAGACUCCAUGAUAUCUGCUCCGGCUUCAUCAACAUAGUCAUCAUCGCUAUCAUCUGGAUCCGAGUCGGUGUCGUCGAUGAUGAUGUAGUCUUCCGGGCUAAUCUCCUUGGGUUCUUCGUCUUCAUCUACUGGUGUAGGGCUCCCAUAAAUAUUGCUAGUUUCAUGGUUAGGUCGGCAUUCUUAGCCACCAAUACUUCAAUUUCCUCUUCAUAAUCUUCACGUGUAGCCUUAAGUUCUUCCUUCAGUUCCUUGAUUCUUGUCUUAGCCUUCUUUAGGUCUAUCAUGUUGGCGCACAUCUGGUUUUCCUGUCGUCGAAUGUGCUGGUUUAACUCCUGGAUAAAAGUUGCGAUUGAUCUAUCCUUCCUGGUGCUGAUCAUCUCCCAGUGUUCAUCUCGGCGCCCACAAAUCUGGUAGAUAGUAUCCUUGUCGAUAGACUCCAAUGCGUCUCAUGGCGAUGUGUGCUGCCAUGCUCUUUCCUAGACUCCAAGUUGGUGCAUCAAAAGAAAAAUCUAUGGGCUCAGUGACUGGCAUGAACGUCCUUCCUGGAACUUGAACUUGAAUCAUCCAGCGUUCUUCUUCAGGUAAAGUAGUGUUGUAGGUUCCGGUGAAGCUUGGUACUCCUAUGUUCAGGUAUCUAGUAACUUCCUUCAAGUGACAUCCAAAAGGUGUAUCGUCAUCUGGUUGCGUGAACUUGUUCUUUGCAUCCGCCAUCCUAAAGAGUAGAAAAGAUGAGAUGUCAGAAAAGAAGAGAAUGAAUAGUGAUCUAGGUCUUUAGCUUAGUGGUCAUGUCCUAUAGUCAGCGUGUGCUCUGAUACCAUCUCUGUAGCGACCAGACCUCAAACGGUCUGAUCUCUGUGCUCUGGUGCCAUCCCUGGAUCAGUAAUGCUGACACCAAACAGUACUCGUAGGAUUUAUAAUAGAGUAGCAAUCACACACUUAUUACAUCGAGUGUCUCCAUAGAGAAUUUAUUACAAUAAAUAUGGCUUAAGGCCAUCUAAUAACGAUAACAGCGGAAGACUUGGAAGAUAAGUGAGUCCAUCAACUCCAACGGCAUCACUGAGUAUAGAACCACGACCUAAAACUCCUUAUUCAUCAUCUGAAAAGUCUGCAACAUUAACGUUGCAGCCCGAAACGGGUCAGCACAUGGAAUAUGCUGGAAAUGUAACACAUAGAGAGUAAUGGAAUGAAACAACUAUACUACAUGCAUAUUUGGCUGGUGGAAAGCUCUAUGGUUACAAUUUUGCGUAAAGCCAAUUUUUCCCCACUGCAAAGGAAUAAAUUUAUUUAACUAUCAUGGUGGUUGUUAAACAUUGAGAAUGGUUGACAACAUUCUCAAUCCCAAUUAAACAUCAUCAUUAAUCAAAACCCAACAAAAUUAAUUUAGAGUAACAUGUUGAGAUUCACAUGAUAAUCCAAGUACUAGAUACUCAAGAUGUCCAUAACCGGGGACACGGCUAACCAUGAUUAGUUUAUACACUUUGCAGAGGUUUGCGCACUUUUCCCCACAAGACUCGAUCGCCUCCGUUUGGUUUCUCGCACUACAGGGUGUUUGAGAAGAUGAAUGACCGAGACAUAGUCUUUCAGAAGCGCUAGCACCUUACGAUGGAUAGACCAUUACACCUACUUUCCCCUACAUCUACUAGUCUACCCUGUAAGAAUUCGCACGACUUAAUCAACUAUGCUAGAGCCCAUAAUAGCUUGUGGCUGCACACGGAAGUUUCUAGUAUGAAUAAUCUCAUGAUCCCUUUGAGCCUCGGUGGCGGUCCAAAAGAAAACAGGCAAAUCCUGGAAUACCCAGGUACCUCAAUCCACCCAGAUGUGUGUUUAAGUUGCCAUCUUAGAUAAACCAUUAAUUUAACAAUCUCACAUCUGUCAUGGAUACACUCACCCAAUCCACGUCUACUAGCAUAGCAUGGCAAUAAGCAAGCGUAGAAGUAACUCCCAAAGGUUUGAUAGUAGACAGGUAAUAGGUACUACCUCAACUACUUCCCAUCCCACAAUUUAAUUAGAUCCUAAUCAUGCAAUGUGUGAGGAUUGAUCUAAUGCAAUAAAACCGGGUAGUAGCAAAGGUAUGAUCAAGUGUUACUUGCCUUACUGAUGAUCGGCGAAACCUAGCGAUUCGAAGUAACAGGCGGCGCACUCCGGGUAUUCUAUCGCAGACAAACAAACAUGCAUACAAUAAGUACUCAUCUAAUGCACAGGUAAAACUCGAAUAAGAGAUCUAACCAGAAGGUUCAACUUAAGAACUCCGGUUUGCAAAAAGAAUCAAAUCGAACGAAGCAACGAAAGUCAAACGGCGAAAGAAAACAACUUUGUUCUAGUAAUCUGGAUCUAAGGUAAUUUCUACAGUAGCAAAAGCUUGUUUAAGUUGGUUAAACGGAUAGAGGGUUUCGAGACGAAACUCCAGGCGCUUGAAUCGCUUGAUUCCAAUAAACGAGCGAAAAGUUAUACUAAAACGAAAAUCAGAUCAGAAAUCGCGAUCAGAAAAAUCGCGGAUUUAAUUCGAGAAAAAGAAAAAAAAACGAAUGUUCGUUAGAACGAACGAACACUCGCUAUUUAAAUAAAUCAGAAAAACCGAUCAAAAAACCGAAACUAAAAAAACUGACGGAAAAACCGAACGGUUUUUCAAAAAAAAAACGGCGGCACGGAUUUCGAGGCACGGCGAACCUCGGGCGGCGUGCGGCGGCGGCGGCGGGGCUGGCGGCGGCUUAGGGUUUCGGCUGGGGAUGGGCCUCUCCCCGGCUUAUAUAGCCUAGUCGGGCCGGAGUCCUAGUCGGACACGACCCGUUAGGUCGGUUCGUUUUUUUAAAUAAUUAUGCGCAGAAGAAAAAUAAAAAGAAAUACUAAACAGACUCCAAAAAUCCCAAAAUAAAUUUUCUCGGGUUUCUAAAAUCAAGCCGCACAAGGUGAACAUUUAUUUGAGGCCUAAAUGCAAUUUUGAAAAACGCACAUUUUUCCUAAAUUCAAAUAAAAUAACGAAAAACUCCGAAAUAAAAUCUUAUUUGAUUUUAUUAUCAAAUCCUCAAUAUUUCUUUAUUUUGGGAAAGUCAUUUUAUUCCCUCUCAUAUUUUUGUAGUAGAAAUAAUUGAUGAUAAAAUAAUAAAAUCAAAUGAUCUUAUUCUCAAAAUUUGAGAAAACUCAAAUAUGAAAAUAAAGAAUUCCCCAACUCUCUCCGUGGGUCCUUGAGUUGUGUAGAAAUUUCUAGGAUCAACCAAAAAUGCAAAAUAAAAUAUGCUAUGCAUUUAUGAUCUAAUGUAUAACAUUCCAAAUUGAAAAUUUGGGAUGUUACAAACAUCAUAGGAUAACCAUAGAUCAUUGGGAAAUAAUAUACGGAGUUGAGCACCAUGUUUAAGUAGAGAUUACAGCGGGGAGAAGAGGUGUUACACCGUUGCAUAGAGGGGGAGAAAGUUGGUGUUGACGGUAGCAAGAUUGUUGGUGUAGAUCGUCGUCCCGAUCGUUGCCCCAGUGGCACUCCGGCGCCACCGGAAGCGAGGGGGGAGAUCCCUCUCCUUCUUCUUCUUCUUCCUUGGCCUCCCCCCUAGAUGGGAGGAGAGUUCCCCCUCUGGUCCUUGGUCUCCAUGGCGGCGGAGGGGCGGGAGCCCCUCAGAGAUUGGAUCUCCCUCUUUGUUAUCUUCUAUUCGCGUCCCCCAGAUCUGGUCGAAAACUAUUUCUUAUAUUUCGGGAGAUCCGUGACUCCGAUUGCGCUGAGAUUUUAACAUGAUUUUUUUCCGGAUAUAAGCUUCCUUGCGCCCGAAGUUAAGGUCCAACCGACGUACGAUGUGAGCACAACCCACCACGGCAGGCCUGGCUCCUCUAGCGCGCCCUGGUGGGUUGUGCCCACCACGGGCCUCCGUUUGCGGUGAUUCCAACUCCCAAAAAUCAUAUAUAUAUAUAUAUAUUCCAAAAUAAUUCUCCGUGAAAUUUUAUUGCAUUUGGACUUCGUUUGAUAUGGAUACUCUACGAUACAAAAAACAUGCAGAAAACAGGAAGUGACACUGGGCACUGGAUCAAUAGGUUAGUCCAAUAAAUCAUAUAAAAAGUUGCCAAAAGUAUGUAAAAGUUGUAUAAUAUUGGCAUGAAACAAUCAAAAAUUAUAGAUACGACGAAGACAUAUCAGUUAGUGGAAUAGCUAGGGGUGAAACAGAGAUAUUGUGAUGGGAUACUUUGUGGGUUUUGAGCAAGUCUUUCACGAAAUCCGACAAUCCCCUCUUAAUAGUGCGGGAUCCCUAUACUCAAGAACAAACUGAAAAGGAGCCAAAGCUGUUUGUUUUGUAUCUCUGCUCUUGAGUGAUAUAUAUAUGUCCGUAGUCAUGAUCUACACACGGCCCUUGAGACAAAAUCCUGAGAUAUACUUGAUAAACAUGAUUAGUCCCAAAAUGCAUAUUGUCAUCAACAUCAAAAUAAGAUUAAGGGCAUGAUUGCACUUUCACUUAUAGUGAGGAGUGGAGAGGAUAGGAGAGAUCAACGGAACUGAGGCAGUGUGUGACGGCGGCGACCUGGAGGCGGCGGUGUGUCACGGCGGCGACCGGGAGGCGGUGGCACCGCUCGGUCCUCAACAAUGGCGGCUCGUUUAGGAUCUUGGAUCUCAGCGGCGGCUCAUCUCAGGGCUAGUUGGCUGUUUUUCCUUUGUUAGGUCUGAGCAGAGAUACAAAAGAAAACUAGACGAAAGGAGGAGGGAUGGAAAAAACCAGACCAAGGUGGGAGGUUGAGACGGAAAAAACCCAGACGAAACGGAGACUACCAAGUUGUCCAUUAGGAGUAGAGAUAGACAUUUCAGAAAGAGCAGUUCAAAUAUUGUCACGUCAAUAAAACUCAGCCGUUUCUCAUUUUGCCCUUGCACUCACCCAUCGCCGCUCCCUCUCACUGCAGUCACUCACCCACUCCCCAAAUCCCUAGCUCUCCUACACGGUAAUGAUGCGCCUCCGUCUCGACCGCAUCACCGCCACUCUUCUCUCUCUCUCUCUCUACAUCUCACUAGUGCCACUUCUUCUCGCUCGCGUUGUCGUCGAGCCAAAUUUAGCCCUUUUAGUGAUGUCGAGGAGGAGCGGGAGGAGCAUGUUCCGUGUCAAGGAAGAAGCGGGUGGAGGGCAUGGCCGAACGCCGCUGCCGCAAGCGCCUCAACAAGCUCCAUGCUCCGCUUAGUCGUACUCCAAGAUCAGCAAGGUAAAAAACCAAAUAUCCUUAUCAUUUUUACCACACCAAAUGGGGCAAUCAACUGCAUCAAAAUCUUGAGAGCAUAUCAAGUUGAGUGUGUGUUCUUGACCCAUCAAAAUCUCGGGAGCAAAUCAACCACAUCACGAUCGAGCCCCGUGGAAAGUCCUAAAGUCAGUUUUGGGCCGGUCCACCUGGCUUUUUUCGGUUUUUCUUUUUGUUUGUGUGUUCUUUCCUUCCUUUUUUUCUUUCUUUCUUUAGUUCGUGUUCAUUUUAUCUUUUAUUUUUUAUUUUUAGUUUUUCCAAUAUAUUUUUAAAUUUUGUGAAUAUUUUUUGAAAUCACAAAUAUUUUUUGAAUUCAUCAACAAUUUUUAUGUUAUUGUGAACAUUUUUCAAAUUGCAAAAAAAUUGUACAAAAUUGUCAACAUUUUUAAAUCACUAACAUUUUAGGAAUUCACGAACAUUUUUCCCUAAAUUGUUAACAUUUAUUCAAAACUCAUAAACAUUUUUUUGAAUCAGCAAAUAUAUUUCUGGGGAACAAUUAUUUAGAUUCAUGUACAUUUUUUGAAUCGAUGAACUGUUAUUGUAAUUCAUGAACAUUCAUGUGAUUGUUUUUAUUAAAUUCAUUAACGUGUUUGAAUCCAUGAGUAUCUGUUCGAAAUCUUGAACAUUAUUUUAAGUUUUGAACAAUUUUAGAAACCGUGAACAUUUUUUGAAUUUGCGAUGUUUUUCUAUGCCAACAAUGUUUUUUGAAUUUGAGAAAAGAAAUUCAAACUCGCAAACUAUCGUUCGAAUUUCUGAACAUCUUUUCAAACUCAUGAACAUAUUUUUCGAUAUCCCAACCAUUAUUCUAAAUUAAGAAUUUUUUUUAAAACCCCGAGCAAUUUUGCAGAAGCAAAAAAUAAAAGAAAAUAACAAAAAGAAACGAAAAUAGUAGACAGGAAAUCAUGGGCCAAAUGGGACAGUUGAAGAGAACAGAGCCCAUCAUCAAACCCGUCGGCCGACGGAAACCCGGCCCAUGCUCUCCCGACCACAAGGCGAGAUUCCAUUUCCCACCAACCCCUCUAUAUAUCCCUUUUCUCUUCCCCUCCACGCCCAUUUCCCCUCGCCUUUCCCCACCUUCCGUCCUCCCCCCGUCGUCGCGGCUCCAGCUAGGGUUUCUCGCCCCCGCCCUCCCGCCCCACCGCCGGCCCCGUCCGCCAUGUCGAAGCAAGGUCUGUCCGCUCGCUCCCCACCGAUCAGCGCGAGAUCGAUCUCGCCGGCGUUCGGCGCCGACCGAUUUGGUCCUCCGGGGUUCUGACGUCUCUUCCGGUUUCGGGGCUGUUUUGCAGGAGGAAAGGCCAAGCCGCUCAAGCAGGCCAAGGUCGCCGAGAAGGACUACGACGAGGUAUGCUGCCGUUCUGCCUUUGCUUGCGCUCCCGAUUCGUCGGUCGGAUCAUUGAUCUGCCCCUGUAAUUCUAGGUUUCGAGAUGUUUAGGUUGAUCUGGUGUAGAUCGGUCCGUGCUUGGUUGGUAAUUGCGGAUGAUUCGUUUGGGGGAUAUGAAUUUCGCGGGUUGCUAUGCUUAUGCGCCUGCUAUGCUGCACUGGGAUCUUUUCAAAAUUAAGGGUUCGCUUGUACUUAACGGGAAGGGGAAUUUGUUGAAUUGCUACAAAUUAUGCUGAUUAUGCUGGAUGAGAGUGUCACCUUAAUGCUAAAUUUGUGAUGUUCUGAAUUUUGGGCCGGUAGUGUGUGCAAGCGAGUGAGCACUUUAUGCAUCGGUGUCUGUUGCUUCAUGGUUAGACUUGGGAGUUUGCAUUUGUUAACAUCUCUAUAUAAGCAAAGUUGCCUUCUGUUCUUGUUUGUAUUAUCUUACACAAUAUGUAGUCAAAGGUGCAUAUUUUAAAUAGAACUUGCUGCAAAACAUGGAGUGCAUUGUCAUGUUCCUUUCUUUAUGCCAUUACUGUAAUCUGUUUGCUAGGCACUAACAAGUGCGCAGUUAGUCCAUCUUAAAAGUCAACUGUAUUUUAUUGGUUCAUCUAGUUAUGAAGGGAGCUGUGUAUUUAUUUAGUUGUUUGAGCCUGUUUGUUGUUUGUUUAAAUAGUUGUAACUCUCAAUCUCGGUCGUCCUAGUUGAUCUCCAGCCACAGUACCAUCCUCUUAUGUGAUGUUGUGAGAAAGGAAGGUGACAGUGGCAAUUAUGCCCAUGUGUUGUGAUGUUGUGAGGAAGGAAACUGUCUGAUUUUUUAUACCAUCCUUGUAAUAUGGCCCUGCUUUGCUUGAAAAAAUAGCCCAUGACUGAUAGAAGCGAUGGCAUGAGCUACUUCAGUGACCAGUGACACUUACCUAUACUUAUCAUUGUUUUGGUUUCCUCUGUGUUGCAGAAUGACCUGGCAUACCUCCAGAAGAAGAAGGAUGAGCAAAAGGUGAGACCAGUAGCAGCUAUCCAGUAUUUCCUUCUACACUGCUUGUUCUAUGACCCUUGUUACUGAUGUGAACUAUAUUAUCUUCUUGUCAACCAGGCCCUGAAGGAGCUGAAGGCCAAGGCAGGCCAGAAGGGUGCGCUGGGAGGAUCUGGUCUCAAGAAGAGUGGGAAGAAAUGAGUCUGCCCACCCAUUCGUAAUACCCAGAAAAUGAUAAUCUAUCUAUCUACCUAUCUGUGUCGCGCUUCACUAUCUGUGGUUGUAACAGACUACCUUCAGUUGUGUUGAGCAUUGUGCAUCGUCGCAGUAUGUCGCUGAAACCUAUGGCAUGUCAGCAGCCUCUUCUGCUUAUCUAUGAUACAGAUGGUCCGUAGCUAAUAAUGACAUGACUUGUUUUGUGAUGAAAAUCUCUGAUGUGUGCAUCAAGUCUUCCGAUUUCGCUUGUGUUG
Molecule: long non-coding RNA, 77039 nt
Filed under: Triticum aestivum (bread wheat)
Lineage: Eukaryota; Viridiplantae; Streptophyta; Magnoliopsida; Poales; Poaceae
Description: long non-coding RNA (TAES_LNC015225)
Source: RNAcentral